Molecule: long non-coding RNA, 44502 nt
Filed under: Cicer arietinum (chickpea)
Lineage: Eukaryota; Viridiplantae; Streptophyta; Magnoliopsida; Fabales; Fabaceae
Description: long non-coding RNA (CARI_LNC001347)
Source: RNAcentral
GCCUUCAUGUUUUUGAAUAACCAAUCUUUUUUUAUACAAAGUCUAACAAAUAUAAGUUUGUGCUUAUAAAUGAUAUAUUAAAGUACUUAAGUUUAUACUCAAAGAAAAUAAUACUUAAUCAUAAAUUACAUAUAUAACACAACAACCAGUACAAACACAAUCUCAAAAGCAUAACAUUUAUUUAUUUGUAAAUUUGUUGUUAUUAAUACGACACAUAUGAUGUUAUUAACUUUGCCCAACAUUGUACAAAAUGUAUAAAACAACCAUCGGUGACUUAUUUAAUAGAUAUCCUUAUUCCAUGCAUGCUUUAGAAAAUGGAUAUUAUCUUCCAAAUAAUUGUUUUUUUUCCAAUUGGUGGUUUUAUUUUUUCAGGUUUUUGUAUGGGUGGCGUUUCAGUUGGUCGAUCUACGGGUUCGAAUUCGGGUUUUUUUUUCAAUUGGUCGAUGAACGGGUUUUCCACUUCCCCUACCCUUUUGCUGGACUUGCUAAACAUUUGCAAGACCUUGUGGAACAAUGAUAAGGGCACCAAAGAAAAAAACUAGUAAGGACAAGAAAAAGGAAGCCAUUUCGGUAAGUGAUUUUAAUGUUUGUGCUUAAAAUCAUGUUUUAUACUAGUUAGGGGCCUUAAUGUCUCCAUCAUAGUCGUCCUAUAUUAUAUCUCAAUGGUCAUUUUAUUAUAUGUUAAAUUUUAAUGUGAUUUAUUCAACAAUGUUACAACUCUUCGAAAAACUACAAGAGUAUUUACAAUAUCAAUCUUUCAUAUCUAUUGCCCCUUAAUGUCAAUGACUUUCUAUUAAUUGUACACCGCACUUCAUAGUUACCUCAAAUAAUUAAAUAAGGAAAAAUAAAUAUCAAAUAUUAUUCUCUACAUAAAUAUUGAACCAUCUCAACAUUAUAUUAAAUAAGUUAUAAUCUAUUUAGAUUAAGAUUAAAUUCUUUAGAUACAACUUAUGCCCAUACUAUAUUUGGAUUCGUUUUAUUUGAUCUAUUAUAUAUAUAUAUAUAUAUAUAUAUAUAUAUAUAUGUGUGUGUGUGUGUGUGUGUGUGUGUGUGUGUGUACAAUAUUCUUUUCACACAUUGUGAUUCUGCAUAAUUCGAAAUAAAAUCCUGCGUAACUCGAAAUAAAACAUUAGUUCUCGUAGUUGCUUGCGGAUGAUAUCCACUUUAAUUACAAAUAAAAUAAAAAAUUAUUGGUGUCAUUUACCACAAUAUUGAUUUCACUCUAUAAGAAUUAUAUUGGUUAAAGUACAAAUACUCACUAAUAAAUUUUUCAAAUUAAUUAGUACCUUAUAAAUCACACUCUCAAACCUACAAAAAUAAAUUCUCAUUCUUCUAAUAUUCUUAAUGCAUACUUGAUACCCCUUCAAAGCUUGAUAGCCCACAUGCUACAUUCUCAACUCCUAAAACUGUUUUUUUUUUUUUUUUUUCAAUUAUCUAUAGUGUUAGAGUUCAAACCAACAAUUUACAAUUCGAUAAAAAAAAAAGUAAUAGUGGUUUAUAAUAUAAUCUAUUUUAAUAUAGAACGAGAUCUUUGAUGUUCCAUAUACAACAAAAUUUCCCUAUCACAUACUUUUAUUGAUACAAGUUUUAAUCUAUUUUCUAAUAUCAUCAUUUAGUUAUGUUCCCUUUUCAAAUUAUAUUUUAUUUGUUUUACUGAUUUCAAAAGAUGAGUCGUGUCUUGAUCAUAUGUAAUGUAUCUCUUAACUUUUUUUUACCAGUAUAUUACAAUACUAAUUCAAAAUAUCUUCUUUAUCAUUUGUUUGCCACAAUUUAUAUGAACUAUUUUGAAGCAACACAACUGAUGGGGGAAACAUUUUGUUGCCUCUUUUUGAUCACUACAACAUUACAUGUUUCAUUAUGUAUAUGCUAAAUAGUUGAAUGUAAUCCAAAUUAUUUUUAUAAUUUUUUUUUUAAAAAAAAAGUGACUUUAAAUAAAUUUCAAGAUUAGUAAUAUCAUUUGUUUGGACAUUGUUAUCCAUUACAUGAUUUUCUAUGGUAUCAUGCAUAUUUACUUGUUUUGUUUAAGAUCAUUCACAUGCCCUUUUUAUUUUAAAAAUAAAAAUAAUUCUUAAAACAAUUUCUCUCUCAAUUUUUUUUGUUAUUUUUAUUGUUCAUGUUGUAAACCUAUUUUAAUAUAUAUAUAUAUAUAUAUAUAUAUAUAUAUAUAAUGNNNNNNNNNNNNNNNNNNNNNNNNNNNNNNNNNNNNNNNNNNNNNNNNNNNNNNNNNNNNNNNNNNNNNNNNNNNNNNNNNNNNNNNNNNNNNNNNNNNNNNNNNNNNNNNNNNNNNNNNNNNNNNNNNNNNNNNNNNNNNNNNNNNNNNNNNNNNNUAUAUAUAUAUAUAUAUAUAUAUAUAUAUAUAUACUAUAAUUAUAGUAUUGUGGUACAAUACAAUACCUUCUAUAGCUUUUUUUGGUAAAAAUUUCUGAAAACAUUAAAAAAAAUAUUUACCUAUUAAAAGUAUAUUAAAACAACCUCUUGAAUAUAUCUACCGGCACUUUUGUCACAUCAAAUAUAUUCAAUGUGGCACCUUAAGAAAUCAUCUUACUGUCACUCUUACAUUACAUCCAUUCUUCCAUUGAUUAAUAUUUCAAUUUUAUUCUUUAUUUAUUGUUGUUGCACCAAUUUUAUAACUAAAACAUACUCUCUCCUAACUCAUUAUUGCAUAAUUAUAUCGUAUAAUAAAUUUGGUAACUCUCAUUUUUCAAUUAAAAUCAUUUGGUUUUAUAUUACAAAAUUGCUUUGUAGCUUAAGCCCAUCAUAUGAUAGAAUUUAUUGCAUCCUUUUUGGCAUCAUUCUCUUUUCUCUUCCUCAAUAUCAACUGUUGAGAAUUGGAUCACUCAAUUCUUAAUCUCAUCUAAUCACCAAGUUGAAAGAGCUCAAUAUGUGAGUUCUAUAGCUUUUUUGUUAUAAUGUUUCAAUUUCUUGGAGUUCAUAUUAUAUUUGCUAUGUAACUUGCAUAUUAUUAGUCUAACUAUUUAUAAUAUAAUUGUUCUUCUUAAUAUUUUAACAUGUAUUCCCCAAAUACACUAUUUAAAAGUCAACAGUUUUGAUCCCUCCUUUUGAUUUUUUAACUCGGAAAUUUUAACAUUUCACGUCGUCAUUUUUAGUUCAAAAAUCUGACAGAUGAACCAAAACUGUUAACUUUUAAAAUAGGGGGACCAUUUCCGUGAAUCCAAAAUUGUCAACUUUUAAAAUAAGGGGACCAUUUCCGUGAAUUAGUAAUAAUAGAGCGAAUAAAACUGCAAUUAAACUAAUAAAUAAUUACUUAAAAGACACUUAAAAAUAUGCAUAUGAUAAAGAGUUAUCAUAUAUACUUCCCCCUCACACAGUAUCUUCACGUUUGCCCUUCAUUUUUCAUGACAUAAUGCCUUGUUGUAUAACUCUUCCACCCAUGCUUCAUUGGCUUCAAUAAUAUAACAGUUGAAUUUAUCCCAUCCUCUACUCCUUAACUCAUUGGUGAAAAGGGGUAAUCAAAUCGGUUAAGGUCAAAAGCUCUUUGCGGAUUGAUUUUACGAGAUAUAGUUUGGGAAUGGCUACUCUCAUUAGAGAUGGUGUAACACUCCAAAUUUUAUAAUAAACUAUUUUAUUAAUGAAUAGGAUUUUAAAUAAUUAAUUUGAUGUUAAAAUUAUUUUAUAAUAUAUGUUGAUAAAUUUUGGGAUAAUUUUCGUCAUAUGGGUGCUUUCUACGAUGUGCUAGUUUUAUAAAUAUUAUAUUAAAUGAGCAAUACAAAUAAUAAAUUUUAUAUUUUAUUAUUUGAUAUAUUUUUAGAAAAAAUAAUAGCAUUUUAGUGUAAUAUUUUAAAGAAAAAGAUUUUAUGCGAUUUUACGUGUAUAUACGCGUACCCAAUUAAUGUAAUAUUUUUCUGUGCACUUGACUGAUCUUAAGUAUGCACAUAGUUAUAUUUCAAUUAUUUAUAAUUAUUUUCUAUUUUUAGUUAUAUUUUUAUAAAUAAUUAUCUUGACAUAGAAUUGAUAUUGUUUUUGAUUUUGUUUAUUUUUAUAUACUUGUUAUGACAUUGUGAUUUUAUAUAUAUUUAUUAUGAUUUAGUAAUUAAUAGAAAAUAUUGAUGUUAUAUUUAUUUAUUUUAUAAUUUUGACUAUUUUCUAAUAUGAUGGUAUUAUUAUAAUGUGAGUAUUUUGAAAAAUAAUUAUAAUUGUAGCGAUUAUUUUGAAUGUGAGUUUCAAUUAUUAGUAAUAUAUUGAUUAUUUUAAUUACUCUAAUUUAUAAAAUAUUAGUAAUGUUUGGAAAACUGUGUUUGGAGUAAUAUUAAAAGGGAGAUUAAAUAACUAUUAAUUUUAUUUUAGCAUAAUAAAAAUAAUAAUAGUAAAACAAAAACAUACACAAAUGGACCAAUGGGUUUGAUCCAUGUGUGAACCCUAAUUCUUAAUAAAAUAAAAUAAAAAAAAAGGAAAGGGAGUUGAAAGGGCAGCCGUAAAACCAAAACAAUAACCUAUCGUUUGACACCGGUGAUCGAUAACUGUUCCAGAAAACUUUUUCUAUUUUCGCCCAAAUUUAAGUAUGUUAUUUCAUUCAUUUAACUCGUCAAUUAAACAUAAUUUUCCAGAUUUUUAAUAACCCCAAUUUCUCUGUAAAAUACCCAACUUCUCCAUUUGUAGAAUUCGUUAUUUUGCACCGUUUUCAAAAUUUAGUUUUUAGAGUAUCUUCUGAUAAUUUAUUUUUAACGUUUACCCAUAAAUUGUCGAGUUAGAUCGAUUGAAGGACAAAGAGUCAAUGAACAAAAGCGGUUUGCUCGUGGAAUCGUAUUUGUGUGUGAAUGCGUCGAAAUAAGGUAAGGGGUGAGAGAGCAUUUGAAUUCAUGGGUAUAAUAUAAUGUUAGAUGAACGGGAAAACUUUAUUUCCUAACGAUUCAUCAGGGGCUCGCUACGUACAACAGUAGCCCUUUGAGUGAUAAAUCUAUUAAUGUGAAAGUAUGGAAAUUGUGAGAUUAAAUUAUGGAAUAGAAAUAUUUAUAAGGUGUUGAUUGAUUUAAUUUCGUUAAAUGCGUGGUAUUUGAUAUUAUUAUGAUAUUUGAUUUCAAAUGAAUUUGAUGCAUAUGUUUGAUUAGACGAAUUUAUGUGAUGUGAUAGUAAAAUAUGGAUGCAUGGUAUGAUAUAUGUAUGCGGGAUGAUAAUGCUGAUUUUUUAUCGACAAUAGUGAUGUUAUAAAAUUAUGAUGAGUUUUGUAACACCCCGUUUUUCAAAGCGAGGGUAUAUUUUUUUUUUUUCAAAAGUAAUUAAAAACAAACAAAGAAUUAAAUCAUGAAAUGCCUUUGGAUAAAUAAUUGAGUCAUUAUAAUUUACAAGCAGCGGAAAAAUUUCUCCAAUUAUAAAUCCAAAACAUUUACACAACGACGAAUGGUACAUGGAAACCAUUCAAAUAAGAUGUCAAACUGACAAUAUUAGUAUAAGUACAGUUUUCCAAACUAAAAAUACUCCAAUCCAAAAAGAAGGACACCUAGUCCCUAUACAUCAUCCUAAUCUGAUCAUCCUACCAAAAAGCUAUACCCCCUGAGUGAUCUCCACGCGCCCCGUGAGAUCCUCCUAACGUAACUGCAGUCAAGCGUUCCCAUCUCCAUUCCCGUCCGUAGGGUACGAACCGGUAGGACCGUCCUGACUCUCAUCUGAGGGCAAAGCCCAGAUUUCCACAAUAAUUGUAAAGGGUCACCAACCAAAAAAUAACAGUUAACACAUAGCAAUUAAGUUUUUGAAUGCUCAAAAUAACUUUUCAACUAAGCAUGCACCUUAACAAGAUUUCCAAUAUGCGAAAAGUUUAUACAAUACUUUGCCAAUUAAAAAUGAAAGUAAAAUGAAGUUCUCAAUCUCCUUAUUAACGCAUAACAAAACAAGACAUGGAUAAGUUAAUGAGUAAUCAAUCAUCUAACUCAAACUGAGGAUUUUCACUGAGCCAAUCGAUUGGGAAAUCGAUUGGGGUGAAGGUUCUUAAUGAAAACAGAAUCCUGGGCUGAAUCAAUCGAUUUGGCAAUCGAUUGAGUGAGUACUGAGCCCCCAGGUUUUAAGCCAAUCGAUUUCCAAAUCGAUUUGGUCGAAUAUGGAUGAGUCCCUGACUUAAGGCCCAAUCGAUUGGGCAAUCGAUUUCGUAAAUGAUUUUCGAAAACUGAUUACAAAAUCGAUUGGCUAAUCGAUUUUGUCCAUUUGGCCAAGUCCCUGUCUACCAUCCAAUCGAUUGGGAAAUCGAUUUCCCUGAUCAUUUUUCCAAAAAUUCAUGAAUUAACUCAAGUCAUUCCUAAUCAAGUCCACAACCUAACACUUAGCAAUUCCUACGCGAUUACCACGGCAAUUGGGAUCUCGAUAACCAUCAUACUUACACCCAAUAACCAACACAUAACACUUAGCACCUUCAACGUAAUUACCACGAUAAAUCAAAAUUCAAAUCACUCAAUCAUAAACUCAAAUCAAAUACGACUCGCGUGCCAAGCACCCUAAUGCAAUGCGUAUAUGCCAAAAUGCAUGGACUCGGAAUUCCAAACCAAAACCCUCCUCGAAGGGCCGUAAAUCAUAAUUGUACCGCCUAUCGCAGGCCAAAGUACCAAUUACCGAGGUGCCACCUAUCACGGGUCAGCACGAUUUACUAAAAUGCGUAAAUCAUAAACGUACCACCUAUCACGGGUCAGUACAGUUUACCGAGGUGUCACCUAUCACAGGUCAACACGAUUUACUAAAAGAAAAAGCGUGAAUCGUAAACGUACCGCCUAUCACAGACCAGUACUGUUUACCGAGGUGCCACCUAUCACGGGUCAGCACAAUUCACCAAAAACGUAAAUCGUAAACGUACCACCUAUCACGGGUCAGUACAGUUUACCAAGGUGUCACCUAUCACGGGUCAACACAAUUUACCAAAAACGUAAAUCGUAAACGUACCACCUAUCACGGGUCAGUACAGUUACCAUGGUGUCACCUAUCACGGGUCAACUCGAUUUUCUAAAUAGUAACUCGUAAACGUACCACCUAUCACGGGUCAGUACAGUUACCAUGGUGUCACCUAUCACGGGUCAACGCGAUUUNNNNNNNNNNNNNNNNNNNNNNNNNNNNNNNNNNNNNNNNNNNNNNNNNNNNNNNNNNNNNNNNNNNNNNNNNNNNNNNNNNNNNNNNNNNNNNNNNNNNNNNNNNNNNNNNNNNNNNNNNNNNNNNNNNNNNNNNNNNNNNNNNNNNNNNNNNNNNNNNNNNNNNNNNNNNNNNNNNNNNNNNNNNNNNNNNNNNNNNNNNNNNNNNNNNNNNNNNNNNNNNNNNNNNNNNNNNNNNNNNNNNNNNNNNNNNNNNNNNNNNNNNNNNNNNNNNNNNNNNNNNNNNNNNNNNNNNNNNNNNNNNNNNNNNNNNNNNNNNNNNNNNNNNNNNNNNNNNNNNNNNNNNNNNNNNNNNNNNNNNNNNNNNNNNNNNNNNNNNNNNNNNNNNNNNNNNNNNNNNNNNNNNNNNNNNNNNNNNNNNNNNNNNNNNNNNNNNNNNNNNNNNNNNNNNNNNNNNNNNNNNNNNNNNNNNNNNNNNNNNNNNNNNNNNNNNNNNNNNNNNNNNNNNNNNNNNNNNNNNNNNNNNNNNNNNNNNNNNNNNNNNNNNNNNNNNNNNNNNNNNNNNNNNNNNNNNNNNNNNNNNNNNNNNNNNNNNNNNNNNNNNNNNNNNNNNNNNNNNNNNNNNNNNNNNNNNNNNNNNNNNNNNNNNNNNNNNNNNNNNNNNNNNNNNNNNNNNNNNNNNNNNNNNNNNNNNNNNNNNNNNNNNNNNNNNNNNNNNNNNNNNNNNNNNNNNNNNNNNNNNNNNNNNNNNNNNNNNNNNNNNNNNNNNNNNNNNNNNNNNNNNNNNNNNNNNNNNNNNNNNNNNNNNNNNNNNNNNNNNNNNNNNNNNNNNNNNNNNNNNNNNNNNNNNNNNNNNNNNNNNNNNNNNNNNNNNNNNNNNNNNNNNNNNNNNNNNNNNNNNNNNNNNNNNNNNNNNNNNNNNNNNNNNNNNNNNNNNNNNNNNNNNNNNNNNNNNNNNNNNNNNNNNNNNNNNNNNNNNNNNNNNNNNNNNNNNNNNNNNNNNNNNNNNNNNNNNNNNNNNNNNNNNNNNNNNNNNNNNNNNNNNNNNNNNNNNNNNNNNNNNNNNNNNNNNNNNNNNNNNNNNNNNNNNNNNNNNNNNNNNNNNNNNNNNNNNNNNNNNNNNNNNNNNNNNNNNNNNNNNNNNUAUAUAUAUAUAUAUAUAUAUAUAUAUAUAUAUAUAUUAAAUAUAACUUAACAAAUAUCCCAAAAUAUCCAGAUAUUUGUUAAAUUACCAUUUCACCCGUAACGCAUUAAAUUCUACGUAAAGGAUUCUCCGCACUUAAAUUAAAUUUAUUUAUCGACGAGUAAUUCUAAACGGCGCCAAAAUAACUUUUUGAUCAUAUAAACUCCAAAAUAUUAUUAACUUUGGCUAAAAAAGCCUCCGAGUCAAAAUCCAAAAUAUAUAAAAUACAUAAAGUGUACUUUAAAAUUAUGGGUCUUACAAGUUUAUAUGAUGAUUACGAUUAUGUAUGAUUAGUUAUGUUAUAAAAUUGUAUUGAAUCUAUACGAUGAUUAUGAUUAUGUAUGAUUAAUGAAGUUAUAAAAUUGUGAUGAGAAUAUUGGAGUACCCCAUAUAUGAUGAAAUAGUGAUGAUUUAUAAAGAUGAUGCUCUUAAUGGAGUAGUCUAAGCUAACGAGGGGAGAAAAUAAAUAUUGAGAAUUUGUGAAGUGAAUAUUAUUUUGUCAUCAUAUAGGUAGGGCCUGACAAGCCUAGUGAUUCCGGUGAAGUACAACUGAAUGAGUCUGAUUGUGGCGGUCUGCUGUCGAGCCUUAAGACAAGAUUGUUAGACCUUGGAGGUAUACGGGUGGGGAAUUCCUAGGUGACCUGGAGGUAGCACUCGAAUUGUCGGGAGCUACCAAGCAACACACGCUUACCUCGAUUAUGACGUAUAUGUGUCUCGGGUUGAGUUGAGGGGAUCUAUGAGGACAGGGCCAAUUUGAAUUGUCCGUCCACCGGGAUGGUGGCAUAGUAUCAAGCCUCCUAACCAAGUACUUCAGAAUUAGAAUGGUACCACAUUGUGAAGUAGAGUAUAAGCUCAUGCAUAACAUUGCAUUUUCUUGUGAUUGUUUUAUUGUGACCCCUGUGUUUCAAAAGCGAUAAUAAUUUUCUUAGAUGAUUUGAUGUUAUAGACAAAUUUAUUGAUUUUCCUUGAGUGGUUUUGACUUUAUAAUGCUAUGUUUUUCCUUGAAGAAUGUUUGUGUAAUGAUACAAUUUUUUUAUGAUUAAUUGCAUGUUCUUCUUAUUUAUAUUAUACUAUUAACAUGAUUUCAAAACUCACCUCCUUCGUUGUCUGUGUUUGACUGACUUGACUCUGCGUUUGCAAAAUACAGUUGUUACAGGUUAAUGAGUCUUGAAGUUCAAGUUUGGGAGGAACCCAGCUCUGAUAGGUGACACUGGGAAUAAGGGUUGUAAUUUGUAUUUUCUUAUUUAAUUUGAAAUGAAUUUUUGUAUGAAAACCUUAGAAGUACUAGUUAGUUUUUAGAAUUAAACCAAAUAAUUAUACUUAAAUCAAGCUUAUUGAGAUUUCACUAUUUUAAUGAAAAAAUUAAGUUUAAAGUGUUUUAUUUUUUUUUUUGAGAACCGCAAUAUCCUAAAUUAAAAAUAAAAGAUUUUAUUUUAUUGGAAAUAAAUUUUAUUUAUCCGGUGCAAAUUUUAUAGGAAUAUUAUAUAAAUUAUUAUAUAUAUUAUUUUGGGGUUUAGGGUGUCAUAGAUGGAGCAUAAAUGGAAAUCAUCAAAUUCAUUGUGGUUGUAAACUCACCUCAUUUUGGAUUGAUUGAUCCCUAUGAUAGGUGAUCUAUCUUCCAUUGUUGAGUUUGAAAGGUGAAAAACAAUUGACGGGGAAAAAUGCAAGAAAGUGGAAUUGCUUGAAUGGUAGAGAAGGUGGAGAGUUUUAGAAAAAAAAAUGGUUUUGAAACUACAUAACGUGUGUUUAAAACUCACUAGCUCAAUGCGCAAGGCCAAGGGCGCAAUGCACUAAGGUAUUUAAUGUGCUAAUGAGGUCUGAUAUAGUUGUCUCGUUUCUGCAUAUAAAACUCUCAAUCUAUAGAAUGUUGAUUGUACCAAAGCAGUGAUUGGGAGAUUGCGUGUACCCUUGAGCAAUGCGUUGAUUGACUCGAGAAUGUUUAUUGUCAUGUGUCCCCAUCGUCGACCUUCAGAAUACGCCAUAGUCCAUUAUUCUGGGGGGUAUUAUCGACCCAUCUUAAAGCCUUUGAAUUUUCCAUCCUGGUUUCAUUGCGAUAAUAUUUGAAUGAUGGCUCACUUAAUGCAUAUCCUAUUAUAAUUCAUGUAAAAAGUAACAAGUAUUAUAAAGUGAUAAGUGGAAAAUAUACUAAGAAGAAUUAGAUCAUUACUCAUACAAACAAUUUUUCUUUGAAAUUCCUUGUCCUUAAACUCUCUCAUGAAAUUUUGUGCAAUGUGUCGGAUGCAGUACACAUGUGUUGACGGAGGAUCAUGCCAACUAUUAUUUGGAUUAUUAUAAGCACUUUUAAUGGAUUUGUGUCUAUCUGAAGUAAAACAAACGUUGACUUGAGGUGUGGCGUACCUUCUAUGAUUUUUAUUAAAAAAAAAUGCUCCAAGCACCAUUUGUCUCACCUUCCACAAGUGGAUAAGUAAUGGGAAUUUUAUUUUUGUUCCUAUCAUGUAUAAUGGCUAUUAAUAGAGUCCCUUUGUACUUGUCGUACAACCAAGUUCCAUCCACUAAGAUAAAUGGUUUACAAAAUUUGAACCUAGAGAUGCACGGAGGGAAAGCCCAAAAUAGUUGUUUGAAAAUUUUUGAACCCUGUAACAGAGUAUUAUCAGAAUAUGCAGGUGAUACUUCCAUUUCCACAAUAGUUCCUAGAAGAAAUUUUUGCAUAGCCAACGAUCACCUUGGAAGGUCAUUGUAAGACAUUUCCCAGUUCCCAUAAAUCGUUUCGAUAGCUUUGUUCUUUGCCAUCCAUGUCUUUCUAUUGGUGAUUGUGUAGUUGUACCAUACCCGAAUAUGUGCAAUUAUCACCUUCACUUUAAUUGAUGGGCUAGCUUUCAAAAGCAACUUUAUGCUUUCGCAUAUGAUUAGAUUGCGCUACAUUUGAACAAGCAUUGUAGAUUCACACAUUUAAUUAUAUACCUGUAUUGAUUAGAUUGCGCUACACAAUAAUUAAGUGAGUAUUUUAUGUGGUAGUGUUUAAUUGCAAGUUGACAAUCUGGUUUGCUAUUAAACUUCAUUCCAAUCUCAAGAGAUGCAUCUAAUGGAGGUGGAUCAUUAGAAGGCAUAUCAAAUUCAGAGGAUUGGUAAGCAUAAUUCAAGUUUAGGUUACGCAUAUGGAAUGGUGGAUCGUAUGUUUUUGCAAUUACAUGGGGUUAUGUCUCUAGAUCGUCGUCGUCGCCAUCCUCCCCGUCAAAGUAUGUUUCUUCUUCCUAGUGGAAUAUACGGUUUAGGUUGAGAUGGUUCAGGUUUAGAUGUUUCGACUUGGUCAAAUUAUGGUUCGGGUUAGUAUGGUUCUAGUUGAUAUGGUUCAGGUUGGUAAGAUUCAUAAUUUUGAAAAGAAUGAGUGUUUUGUGUUUGAAAAUUGUAUUUAGGGUGAGGUGUGGUUGAGGGUGAUGGUUGACCAACAUCUGAUAAUGGAUGACCAUCCUCAAACGUGACAUAUAACUCGAUAUAACCGAGUUGCGACCAUUGUUUAUGAACAUCAUACAUGAGUUGAACAUCCCCGUUGUCUUCAACAUUUAACAAUUCAUAAUGAACUAGACCUUGGCCAAAGGAGGCAGGGUGUCAAAAAAUUAUAUUAGACACCCUCUUAUUAUUUUCUAACUUCAACUUUGCUUCAAUUUUUUUCUUCAAGUAAGUACGGUUGCAUAUAUAAUGAACUCGGAUACAUUUGUUUUCCUCACUUUUGAAAUAUUUAUCAAUAUCUUAUAUUUCACAUAUUUCAUCAUUGUAGUAAAUCAGGAAAACUACACUUUUUGGUGCCAUUGAUAUGAUUUAACAAAUUCAGAUGAAAUGUACAUAAAAUAAUGGAAGAUACUUAUACACAUCCAACAAGCAAGCUCCGCGUGCAUACACUUCUUUUCCUAGAAGCGUUAUCAAAUCGCCUUUCCAAAAGGCGACCUUGUGAUAGAUUCCCUGGAAGUUGCCAUUCCAAAAGGCGACCUUGCGAUAGGUUCCCUGGAAGUCACCAUAACAAUAGGUGAUUGUUAUGCACAACUGGAAAAUCGUCAUUCCAAAUGGCGACUUGAUGAUGGAAUCAGAACUUAUUCCUUGCACAUUGAGAACUCACAAAUGACUUACAAAAGUAAAGGAAUAAAAACAUAUUCUUCUAUGUCUAGUCUUCUCUGUUCAGUUUUCUCCGUGCAUAAAUCAAUCAUUUUCAAAGUGGCCUACUCUUCUUGUGUGAAGCCAUGCAUGGCAUCCUAUUGGUCAUUGAAGUCCUUCAUUGAACGAGUAUGGAUUUUUUAAAUGGGGCCAAUUGAAUUUUAUGUUAUGUUUGUUCGUUCGACAGAUGAAAUCUUAUUACUUCUUCGACCACAAACUCAACCAUAUUUGAGACUCUAUAAAUAGGUCAAGUUUAUGAUCAUUCUCCACAAACCAAAAUUUCACUCUUCAACUAUUCAAAUAUACAUAUUUCUUCUAUGCUCAUAGUCACAAUUUUAUUGUCAUCUAAAUGACUUUGUUAUGGAAUGUGUAACGCCCCGUUUUUCAAAGCGAGGGUGUAUUUAUUUAUUUAUUUAUUUUAAAGAAAUUAAACUAAAACAGAGAAAUAAACGAGGAAAUGCCUUUGGAUAAAUAAUUGAGUCAUUAUAAUUUACAAGCAGCGGAAAAGUUUCUCAAAAUAUAAAUCCAAAGCACUUACACAACAACAAAUGGUACAUGGAACCCAUUCAAAUAAGGUGUCAAACUGACAAUAUUAGUAUAAGUACAGUUUUCCAAAUUAAAAUACUCCAACCCAAAAAGAAGGACGUCUAGUCCCUAUACAUCAACCUAAUCUGAUCAUCCUACCAAAAAACUAUACACCCCGAGUGAUCUCCACGCGCCCUGUGAGAUCCUCCUAACGUAGCUCCAGUCAAGCAUUCCCAUNNNNNNNNNNNNNNNNNNNNNNNNNNNNNNNNNNNNNNNNNNNNNNNNNNNNNNNNNNNNNNNNNNNNNNNNNNNNNNNNNNNNNNNNNNNNNNNNNNNNNNNNNNNNNNNNNNNNNNNNNNNNNNNNNNNNNNNNNNNNNNNNNNNNNNNNNNNNNNNNNNNNNNNNNNNNNNNNNNNNNNNNNNNNNNNNNNNNNNNNNNNNNNNNNNNNNNNNNNNNNNNNNNNNNNNNNNNNNNNNNNNNNNNNNNNNNNNNNNNNNNNNNNNNNNNNNNNNNNNNNNNNNNNNNNNNNNNNNNNNNNNNNNNNNNNNNNNNNNNNNNNNNNNNNNNNNNNNNNNNNNNNNNNNNNNNNNNNNNNNNNNNNNNNNNNNNNNNNNNNNNNNNNNNNNNNNNNNNNNNNNNNNNNNNNNNNNNNNNNNNNNNNNNNNNNNNNNNNNNNNNNNNNNNNNNNNNNNNNNNNNNNNNNNNNNNNNNNNNNNNNNNNNNNNNNNNNNNNNNNNNNNNNNNNACCCACACAAUCACCAUGACGAAUUGGUUUUCAAAACAGUUUUACAAUACAUCGCACUCACACACGAUAAUCAAUGCAUAACACUUAGCAAUUCCAACACAAUUACCACCACAAUUCCAAUUCAAACCACUCAAUCAUAUACUUGAUUCAAACACGACUCGUGUGCCAAGCACCCUAAUGCAAUGCGUAUAUGCCAAAAUGCAUGGACUCGGAAUUCCAAACCAAAACCCUCCUCGAAGGGCCGUAAAUCAUAAUUAUACCGCCUAUCGCAGGCCAAAGUACCAAUUACCGAGGUGCCACCUAUCACGGGUCAGCACGAUUUACUAAAAAGCGUAAAUCAUAAACGUACCACCUAUCACGGGUCAGUACAGUUUACCGAGGUGUCACCUAUCACGGGUCAACACGAUUUACUAAAAGAAAAAGCGAGAAAUCACAGGCCAAAGUACUAUUUACCAAGGUGCCACCUAUCACGGGUCUGCACAAUUUACAAAAAAACGAAAACCAUAAACGUACUGCCUAUCACGGGCCCGUAUCGUUUAUCGAGGUGCCACCUAUCACGGGUCUGCACAAUUUACAAAAAAACCGAAAACCAUAAACGUACUGCCUAUCACGGGCCCGUAUCGUUUAUCGAGGUGCCACCUAUCACGGGUCUGCACGGUUUUCAAUAUAUCGACUCCAUCCACAACAAUCGUUAAGCAAAUGCAGAUAUUAAAAGAUUCCCCAUUUUUAAUACUCACUUAACUUAAACGAUUUUCACAACAAAUAUUAAGCAAACAGAAAUAUCAAGAGAUUCCCCAUUCUUAAUACCGAUUUAUCUUAAUGAUUUUCAAAACAAAACGUUAAGCAAACAGUCAUAUUAAGAAUGGGGAAUCUCUUAAUAUGACUGUUUGCUUAACGUUUUGUUUUGAAAAUCAUUAAGUUAAAUCGGUAUUAAGAACGGGGAAUCUCUUAAUGACUUAUUUAAUUAAUGUUGUUUGAAAGUCGUUUAAGUUAAAUGGGUAUUAAAAAUGGGGAAUCUUUUAAUACCUCGGUUUACUUAAUGUGCUUUUGAGGAAAAGGUUUAAGUUAACUGGGCGUUGAGAAUGGGGAAUCUCUUAAUGUCUCGGUUACUUAACUAUCGUUUUUGAAAAUCGUUUCGGUAAAUGAGUAUUAAGAAUGGGGAAUCUCUUAAUAUGACAGUUUGCUUAACGUUUUGUUUUGAAAAUCAUUAAGUUAAAUCGGUAUUAAGAACGAGGAAUCUCUUAAUGACUUAUUUAAUUAAUGUUGUUUGAAAGUCGUUUAAGUUAAAUGGGUAUUAAAAAUGGGGAAUCUUUUAAUACCUCGGUUUACUUAAUGUGUAUUUGAGGAAAAUGUUUAAGUUAACUGGGCAUUGAGAAUGGGGAAUCUCUUAAUGUCUCGGUUACUUAACUAUCGUUUUUGAAAAUCGUUUCGGUAAAUGAGUAUUAAGAAUGGGGAAUCUCUUAAUAUGACUGUUUGCUUAACGUUUUGUUUUGAAAAUCAUUAAGAUAAAUCGGUAUUAAGAACGGGGAAUCUCUUAAUGACUUAUUUAAUUAAUGUUGUUUGAAAGUCGUUUAAGUUAAAUGGGUAUUAAAAAUGGGGAAUCUUUUAAUAUCUGCAUUUGCUUAACGAUUGUUGUGAAUGGAGUCUGUGUAUGCUCAUGCAUUUCAUUUGGUAAAUUGUGUCGACCCGUGAUAGGUGACACCUUGGUAAACUGUACGGACCCGUGAUAGGUUGUACGUUUGCGAUUUACAUUUUAGUAAAUCGUGUUGACCCGUGAUAGGUGACACCAUGGUAACUGUACUGACCCGUGAUAGGUGGUACAUUUACGAUUUACAUUUUUGGUGAAUUGUGCUGACCCGUGAUAGGUGGCACCUAGGUAAACAGUACUGGUCUGUGAUAGGCGGUACGUUUACGAUUCCCGCUUUUUCUUUUAGUAAAUCGUGUUGACCCGUGAUAGGUGACACCUCGGUAAACUGUACUGACCCGUGAUAGGUGGUACAUUUACGAUUUACAUUUUUGGUGAAUUGUGCUGACCCGUGAUAGGUGGCACCUAGGUAAACAGUACUGGUCUGUGAUAGGCGGUACGUUUACGAUUCCCGCUUUUUCUUUUAGUAAAUCGUGUUGACCCGUGAUAGGUGACACCAUGGUAACUGUACUGACCCGUGAUAGGUGGUACGUUUACGAGUUACUAUUUAGAAAAUCGAGUUGACCCGUGAUAGGUGACACCAUGGUAACUGUACUGACCCGUGAUAGGUGGUACGUUUAUGAUUUACGCAUUUUAGUAAAUCGUGCUGACCCGUGAUAGGUGGCACCUCGGUAAUUGGUACUUUGGCCUGCGAUAGGCGGUACAAUUAUGAUUUACGGCCCUUCGAGGAGGGUUUUGGUUUGGAAUUCCGAGUCCAUGCAUUUUGGCAUAUACGCAUUGCAUUAGGGUGCCUGGCACGCGAGUCAUGUUUGAUUUGAGUUUAUGAUUGAGUGAUUCGAAUUUUGAUUUAUCGUGAUAACUGAGAUGAAGGUGUUAAGUGCUAUGUGUUGUGUAUUGUGUGUGAGUAUGAUGGUUAUCGAACCUUUGUGUGUCGUAGUAAUCGCGUAGAAAUUGCUAAGUGUUAAGUGGUGAACUUGAUUAGGAAUGACUUAGGUUAAUUCAUGAAUUUUUGGAAAACUGAUCAGGGAAAUCGAUUUCCCAAUCGAUUGGAUGGGUAAACAGGGACUUGGCCAAUUCACAAAAUCGAUUAGCCAAUCGAUUUCGAAAACAAUUUUCAAAGGAAUCAGUUAAGAAAUCGAUUGCCCAAUCGAUUAGGCCUUAAGUCAGGGGCUCAGGAACCAAUCAAUCGAUUUACCAAUCGAUUGAAUUCAGCCCAGGAUUCUGUUUUCAUUAAGAAUCCCUCACCAAAUCGAUUAGGAAAUCGAUUGGCUCGAAACCAGGGGCUCAGGAACCAAUCAAUCGAUUUACCAAUCGAUUGAAUUCAGCCCAGGAUUCUGUUUUCAUUAAAAAUCUUCACCCCAAUCGAUUGCCCAAUCGAUUGGCUCAGUGAAAAUCCUCAUUUUUAGUUGUAUGAUUAAUUGCUCAUGAAUCUAUCCAUGCCUUGUUUUAUCAUGUGUUAAUUAGGAGAUCGAGAACUGCAUUUUACCUUCAUUUUCAUUGGCAAUGUAAUGUAUGAACUUUUCGCACAUUGAAAAUCCUGUUAAGGUGCAUGCUUAGUUAAAAAGUUGUUUUGAGCAUUCAAAAACUUAAUUGCUAUGUGUUAUCUGUUAUUUUCUGGUUGGUGACCCUUUACACUAUUGUGGAAAUCUGGGCUUUGCCCUCAGAUGAGAGUCAGGACGGCCCUACUGGUUCGUACCCUACGGACAGGGAUGGAGAUGGGAAUGCUUGACUGCGGUUGUGUUAGGAGGAUCUCACGGGGCGCGUGGAGAUUACUCAGGGUGUAUAGUUUUUGGUAGGAUGAUCAGAUUAGGAUGAUGUAUAGGGACUAGGGGUCCUUCUUUUUGGUUUGGAGUAUUUUAGUUUUGGAAAACUGUACUUAUACAAAUAUUAUCAGUUUUAUAUCAUCUUUGAAUGGGUCCCAUGUACCAUUUGAUGUUUAUGUAGAAAUGUUUUGGAUUUGUAAUUGGAGAAACUUUUCCGCUGCUUGUAAAUUAUAAUGACUCAAUUAUUUAUCCAAAAGCAUUUCCUGAUUUAUUCUUUGUUCGUUUUAAUUACUUUUAGAAAAAAAAAAAUAUACCCUCGCUUUGAAAAAACUGGGUGUUACAUUGUGGUAUCAGAGCAUAGGUUUAGUUUUCUUUGGGAGCUGUGGAACCUUGGUUAUAGAUUGUAGGUCGACCUAUAAGUUAGGAGUUGUUAUCUGAUCAUGUGUCGGUUUAGGUGACUUGAGUUGUCAAGUCCAAUUUAAUUGUGUGUUGUUAGUCGGACGUUAGUUUAGAAUUAUUUGAAGUAGUGUUAAAACUCUACUUGAUGAUGGUUCUUAUAGGAAACCAUGCCGCCCAGAAGGAAUGACGCUCCGAGAGCCAACGCUAGGAAUGACCAAAUGGCGGAGGCUAUGAACAACAUGGCUGCUUCUGUCGCUGCACAGACCGCUGCCAAGACUCAACGGGAUCUUGAAAAGAGGGGAAGAGAGAUCCGUGCUGCAGAAUCAAGAGGGUUGGAAGACUUCCGUCGUUACAAUCCUCCUAAGUUCAAGGGGGAUGAGGGUUCAGAGAAGGCGGAUCAAUGGAUCCAAGAAGUGGAGAAAAUCUUUGAUAUGAUUAACUGCCAGGCUGGAGUGAAGGUCAGCUAUGCCACGUAUAUGUUGCUAGGGGAUGCUGAAUACUGGUGGAGGAGUGCAAGGUUGUUGAUGGGAGCAGCCCACGAGGAGGUGAACUGGGAAUCGUUCAAAAGAAAGUUUUUAGACAAAUACUUUCCGAUGAGUACCAGGACUAAGUUGGGUGACGACUUUCUGAAACUUCACCAGGGGAGCCUGACUGUGGGCGAGUAUGCUGCUAAAUUUGAAUCACUAUCGAGGCAUUUCAGGUUCUUCCGUGAAGAAAUUGAUGAACCGUUCAUGUGUCAUCGUUUCCAAGACGGAUUGAAGUAUGAGAUUCAAGAUUCCGUCUUACCUUUGGGAAUUCAACGUUUCCAAGCGCUGGUAGAGAAAUGUAGAGAAGUGGAAGAUAUGAAGAACAAGAGGGCUAGCCGAGUUGGGAAUUUUAAUUCGGGAGGCCCUAGUCGGGCGACUUAUCAGAAUAGGGGAAAACAAGUGGCUAAACCUUAUAAUCGCCCCCAGAAUAACAACGGUGGACCGAGUCGCCCAGGGAACCAGAAUUUCGGAAGGCAAAUGGGGCAAGUGCUUCGAUGUUUCCGAUGUGGGAAAGAAGGACACUAUGCUAGUGCUUGUACCACUAACAUCCCCAUCUGUCACAAUUGUCAGAAGUCGGGGCACAUGGCAAGGGAGUGCACGGCUCCAAAGGUGGAACCAGUGGUGAAUGUAGCUAGGGCUACCCGUCCUACUGCUAGAGGACGCAUUUAUUGUGUGAAUGCUGAAGAGGGAAAUCCAUCUGGUAAUCUGAUUCAGCGUGAUUGUGAGAUUGCAGGUAACACUCUAACUGCACUCUUUGAUUCGGGGGCAACCCAUUCCUUCAUUGCUAUGGACUGUGUGAAUCGCUUGAAGUUAUCUGUGUCUGCUUUACCUUUUGAUUUGGUUGUUUCCACGCCUGCUAAGACCUUAACCGUAAAUUCAGCAUGUUUACAUUGUCGAAUGACUAUUCAGAAUAGGGAUUUCUUGGUUAAUCUAAUUUGUUUACCGCUACAAUCACUCGAGGUCAUCCUCGGUAUGGAUUGGAUGUCUUAUCACUAUGUGAUCUUGGAUUGUGCUCGGAAAUUGGUUCUUUUCCCCGAACCAGGAGUUGUUAAGUAUUUAGCUGCUAACAAACUCCGAGUGUCGCUAAGUGAAGGGACUCAUGAGUUUUUGUCUCUAGCAAAUGUAGAGGCAAAGAUAAAUGUGGAAAUAGAAGAUGUGAUACUUGUCAACGAGUAUCGGGAUGUAUUUCCAACGGAAAUUCCAGGAUUGCCACCGGUAAGAGAAGUGGAAUUCUUCAUUGAUUUGCACCCAGGAACGGGACCCAUUUCAAUGGCACCUUAUCGAAUGUCGCCAUUGGAAUUAAAUGAGCUCAAAGGCCAAAUUGAAGACUUGUUGGAGAAGAAAUUCAUCAGACCAAGUGUAUCACCAUGGGGUGCUCCAGUUUUGCUAGUUAAGAAGAAGGACGGAAGCUCGCGCCUAUGUGUGGAUUAUAGACAGCUCAACAAGGCAACUAUCAAGAAUCGUUAUCCUUUGCCACGAAUCGAUGAUUUGAUGGAUCAAUUGAGAGGGGCCGCGAUAUUUUCGAAGAUUGACUUGAAGUCGGGUUACCAUCAGAUCCGAGUAAGGGAAGGAGACAUUCAGAAAACAGCUUUCAGAACCCGCUACGGACAUUAUGAAUACCUGGUUAUGCCGUUCGGAGUUACCAAUGCACCGGCAAUUUUCAUGGACUACAUGAACAGGAUCUUUAAUUCGUUCCUUGAUAAAUUCGUGGUGGUAUUCAUUGAUGAUAUAUUGAUUUAUUCAAGGACCGAAGAAGAGCAUGGAGAACAUUUGCGACAAGUUCUUGAGAUUUUACGCGAGAAGCGAUUGUAUGCCAAUCUGUCGAAGUGUGAAUUUUGGCUAGAGAAAGUGAAUUUCUUGGGACAUGUGAUAACCAAGGAAGGAAUCGCUGUAGAUCCGGCUAAGAUUGAGGCGGUUCUUGCUUGGAAACAGCCUCAGACUGUCACUGACAUACGAAGUUUUGUGGGACUGGCAGGGUACUACAGGAGGUUUAUCGAAGGUUUUGCUAAGAUUGUGGCUCCACUGACACAACUUACCAGAAAAGAUCAACCGUUCGCAUGGACGGAGAAGUGUGAAGAAAACUUCCAGUUACUGAAGAGGAAAUUGACGACCUCACCUGUAUUGGUGUUACCGCAAUCAGAAGAACCCUAUGAAGUUUAUUGUGAUGCAUCCCACCAGGGGUUAGGAUGUGUUCUGAUGCAACACAAGAAAGCUGUGGCUUAUGCGUCCUCUAGCAGUAGGACAGGUAGCUCUAGCUACAUUCACAACUGGUUCCACCUUUGGAGCCGUGCAAUCCUUCGCCAUGUGUCCUGGCUUCUGACAAGUGUAGCAGGUGAGAGUGUUAGGGGUACAAGCGUUAGCAUAAUGUCCCUCUUCCCCACAACGGAAACAUCNNNNNNNNNNNNNNNNNNNNNNNNNNNNNNNNNNNNNNNNNNNNNNNNNNNNNNNNNNNNNNNNNNNNNNNNNNNNNNNNNNNNNNNNNNNNNNNNNNNNNNNNNNNNNNNNNNNNNNNNNNNNNNNNNNNNNNNNNNNNNNNNNNNNNNNNNNNNNNNNNNNNNNNNNNNNNNNNNNNNNNNNNNNNNNNNNNNNNNNNNNNNNNNNNNNNNNNNNNNNNNNNNNNNNNNNNNNNNNNNNNNNNNNNNNNNNNNNNNNNNNNNNNNNNNNNNNNNNNNNNNNNNNNNNNNNNNNNNNNNNNNNNNNNNNNNNNNNNNNNNNNNNNNNNNNNNNNNNNNNNNNNNNNNNNNNNNNNNNNNNNNNNNUAGCAGCAUACUCGCCCACAGUCAUGCUCCCCUAGUGAAGUUUCAGAAAGUCGUCACCCAGUUUAGUCCUGGUACUCAUCGGGAAGUAUUUGUCUAAAAACUUCCUUUAAAAUGAUUCCCAGUUCACCUCCUCGUGGGCUGCUCCCAUCAAUAACCGUGCACUCCUCCACAAGUACUCAGCAUCCCCCAACAGCAUAGAAGUGGCAUAGCUGACCUUCACUCCCGCCUGACAAUUUAUCAUUUCAAAGAUCUUCUCCACUUCUUGGAUCCAUUGAUCCGCCUUCUCUGAAUUUUCAUCCCCCUUAAACUUAGGAGGAUUGUAACGACGGAAGUCUUCUAACCCUCUUGACUCUGCAGCACGGAUCUCUCUCCCCCUCUUUUCAAGACCCCGUUGAGUCUUGGCAGCAGUCUGUGCAGCGACAGAAGCAGCCAUGUUAUUCAUAGCCUCCGCCAUUUGAUCAUUCCUAUUAGCGUUGUCUCUCGGAGCGUCAUUCCUUCUUGGCGGCAUGGUUUCCUAUAAAACCAUUAUCAAGUAGAGUCUUAACACUACUUCAAAUAAUUCCAAACUAACUUCCGACCACAGCAACACAUAAUAAUUAUAUUGGACUUGACAACUCAAGCCACCUAAACCGACGCAUGAUCAGAUAACAACUCCCAACCUAAAGGUUGACCUACAAUCUAUAACCAAGGUUCCACAGCCCCCAAAGAAAACCAAACCUAUGCUCUGAUACCACANNNNNNNNNNNNNNNNNNUUUUCAAAGCGAGGGUGUAUUUUUUUUUUCAAAAGAAAUUAAACUAAAACAGAGAAAUAAACGAGGAAAUGCCUUUGGAUAAAUAAUUGAGUCAUUAUAAUUUACAAGCAGCGGAAAAGUUUCUCAAAAUAUAAAUCCAAAGCACUUACACAACAACAAAUGGUACAUGGAACCCAUUCAAAUAAGAAGUCAAACUGACAAUAUUAGUAUAAGUACAGUUUUCCAAACUAAAAAUACUCCAAUCCAAAAAGAAGGACACCUAGUCCCUAUACAUCAUCCUAAUCUGAUCAUCCUACCAAAAAGCUAUACACCCUGAGUAUCUCCACGCGCCCCGUGAGAUCCUCCUAACGUAACUGCAGUCAAGCGUUCCCAUCUCCAUUCCCGUCCGUAGGGUACGAACCGGUAGGACCGUCCUGACUCUCAUCUGAGGGCAAAGCCCAGAUUUCCACAAUAAUUGUAAAGGGUCACCAACCAAAAAAAAUAACAGUUAACACAUAGCAAUUAAGAUUUUAAAUGCUCAAAAUAACCUUUCAACUAAGCAUGCACCUUAAAAGGGUUUCCAUAUGCCAAACAUGCAUAAACAAGGUUGAGAAAUGAAGUUUUUAACAAAACAACAUUGUUGUAUUCGAAUACAGCAUCUCUGUAUUCGAAUACAAGGCUGUUUCAGCAUUCAGCAAAAAAAACAGCAUGUCUGUAUUCGAAUACAACAGUCUGUAUUCGACUACACAGCAAGUCAGUAGCAAAAUGUAUUCGAAUACAGCAGUCUGUAUUCGACUACACAGUAAGUCAGUGGCAAAAACAGCAUGUCUGUAUUCGAAUACAACAGUCUGUAUUCGACUACACAGCAAGUCAGUAGCAAAAUGUAUUCGAAUACAGCAGUCUGUAUUCGACUACACAGUAAGUCAGUGGCAAAAACAGCAUGUCUGUAUUCGAAUACAACAGUCUGUAUUCGACUACACAGCAAGUCAGUAGCAAAAUGUAUUCGAAUACAGCAGUCUGUAUUCGACUACACAGUAAGUCAGUGGCAAAAACAGCAUGUCUGUAUUCGAAUACAACAGUCUGUAUUCGACUACACAGCAAGUCAGUAGCAAAAUGUAUUCGAAUACAGCAGUCUGUAUUCGACUACACAGUAAGUCAGUGGCAAAAACAGCAUGUCUGUAUUCGAAUACAACAGUCUGUAUUCGACUACACAGCAAGUCAGUAGCAAAAUGUAUUCGAAUACAGCAGUCUGUAUUCGACUACACAGUAAGUCAGUGGCAAAAACAGCAUGUCUGUAUUCGAAUACAACAGUCUGUAUUCGACUACACAGCAAGUCAGUAGCAAAAUGUAUUCGAAUACAGCAGUCUGUAUUCGACUACACAGUAAGUCAGUGGCAAAAACAGCAUGUCUGUAUUCGAAUACAACAGUCUGUAUUCGACUACACAGCAAGUCAGUAGCAAAAUGUAUUCGAAUACAGCAGUCUGUAUUCGACUACACAGUAAGUCAGUGGCAAAAACAGCAUGUCUGUAUUCGAAUACAACAGUCUGUAUUCGACUACACAGCAAGUCAGUAGCAAAAUGUAUUCGAAUACAGCAGUCUGUAUUCGACUACACAGUAAGUCAGUGGCAAAAACAGCAUGUCUGUAUUCGAAUACAACAGUCUGUAUUCGACUACACAGCAAGUCAGUAGCAAAAUGUAUUCGAAUACAGCAGUCUGUAUUCGACUACACAGUAAGUCAGUGGCAAAAACAGCAUGUCUGUAUUCGAAUACAACAGUCUGUAUUCGACUACACAGCAAGUCAGUAGCAAAAUGUAUUCGAAUACAGCAGUCUGUAUUCGACUACACAGUAAGUCAGUGGCAAAAACAGCAUGUCUGUAUUCGAAUACAACAGUCUGUAUUCGACUACACAGCAAGUCAGUAGCAAAAUGUAUUCGAAUACAGCAGUCUGUAUUCGACUACACAGUAAGUCAGUGGCAAAAACAGCAUGUCUGUAUUCGAAUACAACAGUCUGUAUUCGACUACACAGCAAGUCAGUAGCAAAAUGUAUUCGAAUACAGCAGUCUGUAUUCGACUACACAGUAAGUCAGUGGCAAAAACAGCAUGUCUGUAUUCGAAUACAACAGUCUGUAUUCGACUACACAGCAAGUCAGUAGCAAAAUGUAUUCGAAUACAGCAGUCUGUAUUCGACUACACAGUAAGUCAGUGGCAAAAACAGCAUGUCUGUAUUCGAAUACAACAGUCUGUAUUCGACUACACAGCAAGUCAGUAGCAAAAUGUAUUCGAAUACAGCAGUCUGUAUUCGACUACACAGUAAGUCAGUGGCAAAAACAGCAUGUCUGUAUUCGAAUACAACAGUCUGUAUUCGACUACACAGCAAGUCAGUAGCAAAAUGUAUUCGAAUACAGCAGUCUGUAUUCGACUACACAGUAAGUCAGUGGCAAAAACAGCAUGUCUGUAUUCGAAUACAACAGUCUGUAUUCGACUACACAGCAAGUCAGUAGCAAAAUGUAUUCGAAUACAGCAGUCUGUAUUCGACUACACAGUAAGUCAGUGGCAAAAACAGCAUGUCUGUAUUCGAAUACAACAGUCUGUAUUCGACUACACAGCAAGUCAGUAGCAAAAUGUAUUCGAAUACAGCAGUCUGUAUUCGACUACACAGUAAGUCAGUGGCAAAAACAGCAUGUCUGUAUUCGAAUACAACAGUCUGUAUUCGACUACACAGCAAGUCAGUAGCAAAAUGUAUUCGAAUACAGCAGUCUGUAUUCGACUACACAGUAAGUCAGUGGCAAAAACAGCAUGUCUGUAUUCGAAUACAACAGUCUGUAUUCGACUACACAGCAAGUCAGUAGCAAAAUGUAUUCGAAUACAGCAGUCUGUAUUCGACUACACAGUAAGUCAGUGGCAAAAACAGCAUGUCUGUAUUCGAAUACAACAGUCUGUAUUCGACUACACAGCAAGUCAGUAGCAAAAUGUAUUCGAAUACAGCAGUCUGUAUUCGACUACACAGUAAGUCAGUGGCAAAAACAGCAUGUCUGUAUUCGAAUACAACAGUCUGUAUUCGACUACACAGCAAGUCAGUAGCAAAAUGUAUUCGAAUACAGCAGUCUGUAUUCGACUACACAGUAAGUCAGUGGCAAAAACAGCAUGUCUGUAUUCGAAUACAACAGUCUGUAUUCGACUACACAGCAAGUCAGAUAUAAUAAAUAUAACUUAACAAAUAUCUCAAAAUAUCUAGAUAUUUGUUAAAUUACCAUUUCACCCGUAACGCAUUAAAUUCUCCGUAAAGGAUUCACCGCAGUUAAUUUCAAUUUAUUUAUUGACGAGAAAUUUUAAUUGGCAUCAAAAUAUCUUUUUGAUUAUAAAACUCCAAAAUAUUAUUAACUUUGGCUUAAAAGUCUCCGAGCCAAAAUCCAAAAUACACCAAAAAUACAUAAAGGGUACUUUAAAAUUAUAGGUCUUACAGAAUGAUGAUAAUCACAGAGUAGCGCUACACCACAUUUAAAAUUUUGUAAGCAAUACAAUACUUUAUAUUAUAUUAUAUUAUAUUUUUUAUUCUCUUCAAAUUCCUGCAAAUAUAGAACUCAUAUCAUUCUAAUCUCUACAAAUAUAUUUUUAAUCUUUGCUUAUAUAUUUUACAAGAUUCAUUUCAAAAUUUAAGAUCACUUAACCAUAAACACAUUGCACCAAAUUUUUUAAUAAUGUCAUUGUUGAAUUAAGUCGGGUUUGGUAACAUAUCACAAAUAGAAAGCUAUAAAUAGACAAUUCACUUAUUACUGCUUUAGUUGAAAGAUGGAGACCUGAAACCCACACGAUUCAUCUUCCAACAGAUGAAUGUAACAUUAGAAGAUGUAUCACUAUUACUUAGCUUACGUGUUGGGGAUAAAGCAGUUACUAGAUCAACUAUGGUAUGAUGGGCAUAUGGUUUUUUAGAUUUGUUAGGAGUCAUGCCACCUGAAUCUCAAAGAAAAGGGAAUUUUAUAAAAUUAAAAUGGUUAAGAGAAACAUUUUCAUUGUUAACUCUAGAAUCGUCGGACGAAGAAAUAAUUAUACAUUGUAGAGCGUACAUUUUAAGAUUGAUCGGCGGCAUAUUAAUGCAUGACAAAUCUCACAAUAGAGUACAUAUUAUAUGGUUGCACUUGUUGAGAGAUUUGCGAGAGACGGGAGAAUACAGUUGGGGUUCAAAGUGCUUGGCGAUACUUUAUAGAGAAUUGUGUCGUGCAUCUGAAUCCGGUGUUAUGUCGAUCGAUGGAUGUUCACAUCUACUUAAUACUUGGGCAUGGUACCAUAUGCCAUUUCUUGCACCAAUAAGUAAUCUUGAGUCUCAUUUUCCGUUCGCAAAAAGGUAAAUAUAAUAUUUAUAAAACUAUUAAUUAAUUCACUAACAUUCAAAUUUAUUUUCAUAGAUAUAGUGGAAAGGGUAUUAAAUUUGGUGAUACACCUCAUUAUCAUACCACUGGAUAUCGAUAAAAAAUUGAUCAUAUGACCGUUAGCGAUUUAAUAUAUUAAAACGUUAAUUUAUUUCUAUUAUUUUAUUUCUUCUUAUGCAUAUGUUACUAACAGACCUUUUCUAUAUUAGUUUAUUUGGAGGCCCUACCAACAUCUAACAUACGAUAGUCCAAAAGACAAUUGGCUAUGGAAUGGAUCUACCAUAUGAUUUGUUUCUACAUAAUAGAAAUGCAUCAAACAUAUAGAGUGAAAAUACAAUUUGGACUACCUCAAGAAAUUCCACAUCCACCGAGGAACAUGAAAAAAAUAUCAUAAGUUAGAUUUGCAUAAACAAGUUGACUAUAGUUGGGCAUUAUUCUACGAAAUGAGAACAAAUAGUGGAAUGAACAAGAGAAUCAUAUUCUUCAUGGUCCACCUCUAAAUGUUGAAUUUAAACCAAGUUAUGAAUACAUGGUUUGGUUUUGCAAAAAUUUCAAACGAUUUAUUUCUGUAAAACACCAAUUGGUUAAUCCUCGUGUCAAUCCACCCCAACCUCCACCACAAUCUACCCAACAUUUUUUCAAAGAAUCAAUGCUCAACACGACACAGCAAAAUCAAUAUUAUAUACCAACACCUCCUGACAUGCAACCACCUCCUCAUACUUAUACCCACACACCACAUCAAUCUUACGUGUUCACGUCAUGGGAACAAUUUAAUUUUGACAGCCAACAACCACAUCAAGAAGACAAUCGUCGACUAUCCUUUGCAUCAAGUGAAGAAGAAUUAUUGUAUAACAUGUUUGAUACUCGUUAUAAUACACCUGAGUUCACUACCUAGUUACUUAAUAAUAUGUGUCAGCAAAGCUUUUAGAUUUUAAGCUUUGGGAAUGCAUAUACUUCGUUUAAUCAAAUAUCUAAUUGGACUCAAGGUGGAAGUAGUUCUUUUGCAACACUUCCUCCUAGACAUCCUCAACAACAACAAGAUGAAGAUCAAGAAGAAUAAGAAUAAACUCGUGAUAUACCAAGGCAUCGUCAAAAUCUCGUACGUGUGAGAAAACUUCGGCAAUGUGGUAAUGAAAUUGAGGUAUUUUAGUAUAUAGUUUUGAAAAUUAAGUUUUUGAUAAAAAAAAAAAUUGAAAUAUAUAGAUUAUUGGAAGAAAAAGAAAAAAGCCCACUAAUUGGAGCAUUACGAGAUAUCAAAUUUCUUCUAAGUUUUUGGAAGUUCGACCACAUAAUUGAUGGCUUCAAUUUCCCACUUCCAUUAUGGGAUAUCUAAUUAUUAGAGUAAUCCUUUCGCCUUAUGGUAUUCAAUCUUAGCCAUCUGACACAUUAAAUGUGACUGCACAUACUCUCCUACCUCUUUCUUCAUUCCUACCACUAGAAUAACUUCUUCAAGUCUUGAUACAUCUCAUUGGCACUAGGGUGAUACAUCUUUCCUUUAUGGCCUACAUCCAAAAUCAUAUUCUUCAUACCUUCAUUUUGAGGUAUACAAAUCAUCUCUCUUUGUCUUACCAUUCCAUCCACUAUCCACUCCAAGUUUAAGUUCUACCUCACGUCUUUCAGCAAUCCUUUCUCCAAUUCCUUUAAUAAAAUUUUCCUUUUCUUGACAUUCCAACAUCGUGUUCAAAAAUUCACUUGAUUUACCCAAAUUCAAAUUUCGAAACUCCUCCACCAAUUCUUGCAUUUCCACCAACAUGGCAGCCACAUGGAAAGCUGCUGUAUUUUGUGCAUCUGCCAGCAUAUUAGCCUUUUGUGGAUGGUACUGUAACAUGAAAUCAUAAUCUUUAAUGACGUCAACCGACCUUUCCUAUCUCAUGUUCAGUUUCUUUUGAUAAAACAAAUAUUUAAGACUUUUAUGAUCACUUAAAAGUUAAAACUAUAAAUUUUGCUCCAUAAAAGUAAUGUCUCCAUAUCUUCAAUGCUAACAAUAUUGUAGCCUAUUCCAAGUCAUGAAUAGGAUAAUUCCUCUCUGCGAGUUCUUUAUUUCCUUGAAACAUACGCCACAACAUUUCCUUCUUGCAUCAACACACUACCCAAUCUUUUGUUAUUUUGUUUUACAAGUUUGAAAGGAUUAAAAAAAGCCAAUACCCAAAAGCAUGAAUCAGAUUUGACGCACGAAAAAAGAGAAAUAAACCAUCGAAAGUUCGAAAUUUGGAUGAAGGAGAGAAGAAGAUGAUCGUGAGACCAGAGGCGAUCCACGACGGCGGCGGAGAAUGCGUCUCCUCUUCUAUGCGUCGAUCAUGGACACAGGUUAGGAACAACGCGACGAGCUCGACAGGAGACCCUACCCGCGGUGGCAGAUCAUUUGCCAUCUUCACUGUUUACUUCUCUAUUUUGGAGUUUUUUCUUUUCUAAUAUAUAUGCUAUAUCAUUUGGAUUGAAUUGGUUUGGAAAUUAAUAUAUAAUAUUUGACAUGAGUUGAACCUGGAUUGUUUGUUCAUAUAAGAUGCAUUAUUGAGUAUGACAAGGGUGGUCGAGGGUUUGAUUGCAAUGAAAGGUUGUACUACAUAGGUAACGAGAAGCAAAAGUGAAAAAACAAUAUUGUAUAUCCAUAUAUACAUCUAUACUAUAAACAAAUUUCUUCCAAAUUAGAAUAUAGUACACUUUGUCUAAAAAUAUGUAUCUAACAUUUAUUGAAUGACAUUUAGUAAAAAAAAAAUGUCUAUCUUUAAUUCAUUUAAUUGUCAUAAACUAACAAAAUCUAAAUAACAAAUUUUGCAAAACUAUUCAUUUAAUUGUCUAUUAUCAUAAAUGUGGCAACUAAAUAAUUGUCUAUUCAUUUAACUAUAAUAAGCAGCAAAUCACAUAUAGAAAAUUACUCUCAUUUACGUUUUCAGUUAGGUCAUAAAGAUAUUACUAAUUCUGAAUUUUUUUUUUUGGAACUAAUACUACUAAUUUUGAUUGCUAAUUAUUAGAUGUCAAUAAAUUAAAUUAAUUUUAUAGUGUAACAUUGAAACAGAUUUUUGAACGGUUUUCACUUAUAUUCGCGUAUUUGGACUUAAUUUAAUUCGGUUAUAUUAUCAAUUUAUAAUAAUCGGUCUAACCUAAAUGUCGUAGACUUUUGUCUAUAUAUUAAGAAGUCAUACCAAAAAUAAAAACAAAUUCGCAUCAAUUCUAUCCAUGGCUCAUAGAAACAACAAUAUACGUGAUCCAUUAAAUAGUUGUCUAUUUAUUUAAUUGUAAGAAACAACAAGUCAUAAAGUAAAUUACUCUCAUUUACGUUUUCAACUAUGUGAUAAAGUUAUUAUUAAUUCUAACUUUUUGGUUGAACUAAUAAUUUUAGUUUAGAUUGGUAAUUAUUAGAUGUCGAAAAAUCAAAUUAAUUUUAUAGUGUAAUACUAGCAGAGAUUUUUGAACAAUUUCCACUUAUAUUUGCGUAUUUAAGCUUAACCUAAUUUGGUUAUAAUAUUAUUUUAUAAUAAUGAGUUUAACCUAAAUGUCGUAGACUUUUUGUCUAUACAUUAAGAAGUCAUACAAAAGAUAAAAACAUAUUAGUACCAAUUCUACCCAUGGCUCCUAGAAACAAUGAUAGCAUUUUCGACGUCAACGCAACUAAAGAAUCAUGGAGUUUGAAUGUUCCUGUGCUAAGACUAUAGUCUGUCAAGGAUGUUGUGCGUGACAAACAUCCAUUCUCGAUUGAUAUGUUUCUCAUGGACUCAAAUGUAUAUAAAUUGUGUUCAUUAAAUUUUAUUAAUACAUUUGGCAUAUGGUUAAAAAAAAGUUUAAUAAAUUUCACGUUGCUUUUAAGUUUAAGUUAUUAACUGGUAAAUUUAUUUUUAUUGGCUAAUAGAAUACAUGCAAUCGUGCAUAUAAAGUUGAUUUAUAAGUUCUAAAAGGACUUGCAAGAGGGUCAUGUCUAUUCUAUGUCUAACUUUGGGGUCACAGCAAAUAUUAGGUCGUAUCGUACUACAAAAUAUGAGUAUAAGUUAACCUUUUAGUUUAAUGUCAAAUUGAAAAUUGUUGAUGAUGAAAAAGUUCUUUCCAACAUUUAUCCUAUUUUCAACCUUGGUGAGAUUUUUUCGAGUGAUUAUGAUAUCGACUUUUUAGUUGGUCAGUACAAAAUAUUCCUUUUUAUUGUUAAUCAUAAUUAUCAAGUAUAAAUUUUUUAUGACAUACUAUUCAAGUUUUUCAUUAUUAUCGUUGAAUCUGCCAAACCAUGUUGUAGGAGACUCUUUAAGACAAUAAAGGGACCUGUGUAGCCGACAAACCAUGGUAGAAGACUCCUGAUCCGCUGUCGUACACAGAUCAAAUACAAGUAACAAAAUAUAAAUAGAGGUAAUAACUCAAGUCUUUUUGCAAAGACUUCUGAUAUAAUAAUAUUCACCAAAUUGAAAGUUAAAAUUAGAAAAGGAUUUUUUUUAGUUUUUUGUUUGAACAGAUGAGCACAACGAUUAAUCCACUUAUCCAAGUUUCAGAUCUAUCAUAGAUUCUAUCAACGAGUUUAAUUUCUAAUUUAUGAUUCUAUUCCUAUUUGACUAUAGAAUUAAUCAAACAAGCGUAAUCAACCCUAUGUAAAUUCAGUUUCUUUGACUGGAUUAAGCAUCACAACCAUCGAUAUUUUACAAUUAACGAUCAAGCGUAGCAAAAUCAUAAUUCAAUUAAAUUAGAAAAUCAAAUUCUGUCAAAUGAAUCUAAUCAAUCCUAUUAAAUUCGAAUUAAGUAAUCAGAAUAACAAUAACAUCGAAUAAAGAGAAAUAGAAUCAUAACGCGAAAUUAACAUUAUAACAUGACUCAAUGUGUCGAUGAAACUCCGAAACAGCGGAUCAAUCUAAGAAAUUUAGCAUUCCAUUAAAUAAAUAAAGAAAUAUGUUUUUCUAUUUGGUUCUCAAUCCUAAAAAAUAGUAUGUCUAAGAAAGGAAAGAAACUUCCAAUAUAUAAUACUCGAUUUUGGGCUUUAAAAACAAGUGGUCUGCUAUAUAAAAUUACUACAAAAGUCCAGAUUACGAAAUUUGCAAUUUAGGCCUAGUAAAGUUCAGCAUUGGGCUUUUAUUCCAACACAAAAGUUGUAGCUCUGAUUUUUAGCUCUCCAAUAUUUGCUCACAUGCGUUAAUCUGAUAUCCAGAACUCAAGUUAUGGCCUACAGAGCGAGCAGGGGUCAAAAUGCAAAUAAUAAAAUUAUAAAUCAAAUUCGACCCAAAGUUUAGAAACAAGCUAAAAAACUAUUCUAAGCUAUAAAGAGCUUUUAAAAUACCAAAGUAAAAAGCUAGAAACAUGUGCUCAAAUGUUAUGAUCAACUCCCCUAAGCAACAAAUUAUAGUGAUUGCUCCAUAUAAACUUCCUCUUCAAGAUCACCGUGCCAAAAGGCAUUUUUAUUGUCAUGUUGACGGAGAGACCAAUGUUAAAUUGCUGCAAUUAAGAAAAACAGUCUAAUAGAUGCCAUUUUGGAACCAAGUGUGAAGGUCAAUUGAAUCACUAAAAGUGAUUUAAAAGGACAUCCAGGUACAUAGAGAAUAAAUGCAACUAAAAUGGAAGGGAUAAUUUGGACAGUGCCAACACAUUGAGACCGAGUUUGAGAGUCAUUGGCAGAAAUUAUAGUUGGUAAAAAACCAGAUUUAGAAAGAGAAGAAAAGAGACUUUUAUUACCAGGGACAUGACCAGAUGCACCAAAAUCAAGAAUCCAAGGGCCGAGAAAAGAUGAGUGAUUGAAGUAGUAGAGCCAGAGUUCAUAUGGCUCUGAACCUACCAAAGGAAAUCUUUAUAAUUUGUCGGGGAGCCCUGUAUAUAUGGUGUAGUCUGAAUAGUGGCAGAAGGAUCAAGUUGAGUUGCAUUUAUUGAAGGCAAAAGCUUACCAUGCAACUUCCAACAACAAUCGAUAGUGUGUCCAACUCGAUUACAAUGCUCAAAUUUGGCACAAGACUUAGAGUUUGAUGAUUCUCCAUGAAAGCGAUUGUUUCAAAAAUCAUGUAUUCGUGUUUGUUUGAAAAUUGAUUGCUAGACUUCAAACCCCAAUUGAGGCUAUAUGUGUUUGGCAGCGCAUUUUACUAAUGAAGAAUUGAAACUGCAUAAAAUAAUUAUAAACUUUUGUCAAAUUGAAAAUCACAAGGGUGAAACAAUUGGAAGAGAAAUUGAAAGAUGUUUAAGAGAAUGGGAAAUUGAAAAUGUUUUUACCAUAAUGGUUGAUAAUGCAAGCUCAAAUGAUGGAGCAAUUUCAUACCUUCAAAAGAAGUUUAAUAAUAGGGGAGGAGUAGUGUGUAGUGGAAAUUAUAUGCAUAUGAGGUGUUAUGCUCAUAUUCUAAAUUUGAUUGGUUGUGACGGCACACAUGAGCAGCAAUUGUCCAUUGAAAGUAUUAGAAAUAUUGUACAUUAUGUUAGAUCUUCUCCCCAAAGACUUAAAAAAAUUAAAGAGUGCAUUGAGACCGAAAUGAUUAAGCAUCAAAGCCUUGCGUACUUAGAUGUUUCAACUAGGUGGAAUUCACAUAUGUUAUGCUGGAACAUGUCGAGAAGUUUGAAAAAGCAUUUGAUAGACUUAAUGAGCAAGAAUGGGACUUUCGAAAAUGAUUUGGUGAAGAGGAAAAAGAGAGAAAAAGAUUUGGUCCGCCUAAAAGUAUUGAUUGGGAGAUUGUAGGAUUUUUGUUCAGUUUUUGAAAAUUUUCUAUGAAGUAACUUUAUGUUUCUCAGGUUCUUUGCACGUGACAUCAAAUAUAUGCUUCCAUCAAAUUGUAACAGUUGCGUCUCAAUUGUCAAGUUGGAGUAAAAGUCAUUGUAAACCAUUAGGAGGAAUUGCAAAUUCAAUGAGAGAAAAGUUUAAUAAAUAUUGGGGAAAUAUUGAUAAAAUGAAUCCAUUGUUGAUUGUUGUCGUUGUUUUGGAUCCUCGAUAUAAGCUUGAUUAUGUCACUUUGUGUUUGGCGGAUAUGUUUGACAAAGUACUAGUUACUAAUAUGUUUAAAUUGGUAAGUGAUACCUUGGAUGAUUUGCACUUGUCUUACUCAAGAUGAGAUGCUUCACAAAAUGAAAUUGGAGAUGAUGAAAAUGGUUUAAGAAGCAUACCAUCUCAAAGUGGACUAAACAGUGUUAAAUGUGUUUCUGACAAUAGGGUGGACUUAUGGAAAAAAACAAAAGAAGACUAAAAUUAAUUUAGAAGAGAACACACUAAGCAUUGAUGAAAAUGCUAAUUUUGACAUCUUGGGUUGGUGGAAAGCAAAUUCUUCAAAAUACACGAUUAUUUAUCUCAUUGCUCACAAUGUAUUGGCUAUACCAAUUUCUACAAUGGCAUCCAAGUCAUGUUUUAGCACUAGUGGAUGUGUGCUUGAUGUAUUUCGUAGCUCUUUAUAUGUUAAAUGGUUGAGGCACUUAAAACUGGUUGAACCCUAGUGAUCUCAAAUUUGAAGCAAUGGAUUUUGAUCUUUUUGACAUCACUGAAAAAAUUAUUGAGGGUAUGUUUCAUACUUUUUAUUUAUUGCUUAUAUUAAAUUACCUAAAUAAUUAUUUAAUAUAAAUUAAUAUUUUGUGUUGCUGCUAAUAUAUAUUAUUGAAACACAAUGAACUUAUGUGAUAAAAGAUAACAAGUCAUGAAGGUAGCACCUCAAAGGCUCCAACAUUAUAAGUAAUGAAGGUAACUUGCUUGUUUAUUGUAUAAAAGACAACAAGUCAUGAAAUUAUCAAAUCAUAUAAGAGAAAUUAUCAUCACUUUUGAAAGACAUUAAUCACAACAGCCAAUUAAAUGUUAUACAUGAGCUUAUAUUCUACUUCUUCACCAAUUUGGUACCGUUCUAACUUUAAAGUACUUGGUUAGGAGACUUGAUACUAUGUCAUAAAACAAUUGGUCAGACAAUUUAAAUUGGCUAUGUCAUCAUUGAUCCCCUUUGUUAGAACAAAGUUGAGUUGAAGAACAAUGACCCUUAAAUGUUUUGAUGAUAACAAAAAUUAUUUUGUGAGUCCAAUUUGUAGCCCUUGUUAAUUUAAUUAAGUGUGCAGUUCCCUAGUCAUGAACUUUAAAGAUCUUACGAUGUAUCCUCUGAUAAUUUGAGAAAAUAAAUAAGGAAAACAAGACAAUACUCUGAAAGAAUUGUUAAUGUUAUGACUAACUCUUUUCAACGUGUUCUCAAUGUGUCUAUGAUGAAUCUUUUAAAAAAUGUUUCCUCUGAUGAUUAUGCGUCUGUUGAAUCUGGCAAACAAUUUACUGUCUGGUUAAAGUGUCAAUGAUCCUCAAUACAAUAUACACAUCAAAAAGAUCUUAUUGCCUUCAUACAUAUAAAUUUGUGAAAAUUCUCGUAUCACUUCUUGAGUGCUAAGAAAUCCAAAAAUACUUUGAGAGCGUACCUUAUAAACAUUCUCUUGUAAGAGUUUCUAAAUAAAAACCUAUCUAACCAUUUUUUUUUCGAACUCAACUAGUAGUGGCUGCUAUCUUCAACAAUUUGAUUGUACUAAGGAAGAAGGUUGAAAAAAAUUAAACACAAUCAUAUUGCCUAGUAGGUGUUCAGUGAUCGUCUGAUACUGUUGAUGAUUAGUGGAUUAAAUCCUUUAGAGUGAAAGGACUGGACGUAACUAUUGUGUUGGUGGUGAACCAAAAUAUUUUGACUUGGGUUAUUCUCCUUAUCUCUUUAUCGGUUCUUUCUUUUAUCACUUGUUAAUUUAAUUAAGUGUGCAGUUCCCUAGUCAUGAACUUUAAAGACCUUACGAUGUAUCCUCUGAUAAUUUGAGAAAAUAAAUAAGGAAAACAAGACAAUACUCUGAAAGAAUUGUUAAUGUUAGGACUAACUCUUUUCAACGUGUUCUCAAUGUGUCUAUGAUGAAUCUUUAAAAAAAUGUUUGCUCUGAUGAUUAUGCGUCUGUUGAAUCUGGCAAACAAUUUACUGUCUGGUUAAAGUGUCAAUGAUCCUCACUACAAUAUACACAUCAAAAAGAUCUUAUUGCCUUCAUACAUAGAAAUUUGUGAAAAUUCUCGUAUCACUUCUUGAGUGCUAAGAAAUCCAAAAAUACUUUGAGAGUGUACCUUAUAAACAUUCUCUUGUAAGAGUUUCUAAAUAAAAACCUAUCUAACCAUUUUUUUUUCGAACUCAACUAGUAGUGGCUGCUAUCUUCAACAAUUUGAUUGUACUAAGGAAGAAGGUUGAAAAAAAUUAAACACAAUCAUAUUGCCUAGUAGGUGUUCAGUGAUCGUCUGAUACUGUUGAUGAUUAGUGGAUUAAAUCCUUUAGAGUGAAAGGACUGGACGUAACUAUUGUGUUGGUGGUGAACCAAAAUAUUUUGACUUGGGUUAUUCUCCUUAUCUCUUUAUCGGUUCUUUCUUUUAUCACUUGUUAAUUUAAUUAAGUGUGCAGUUCCCUAGUCAUGAACUUUAAAGACCUUACGAUGUAUCCUCUGAUAAUUUGAGAAAAUAAAUAAGGAAAACAAGACAAUACUCUGAAAGAAUUGUUAAUGUUAGGACUAACUCUUUUCAACGUGUUCUCAAUGUGUCUAUGAUGAAUCUUUAAAAAAAUGUUUGCUCUGAUGAUUAUGCGUCUGUUGAAUCUGGCAAACAAUUUACUGUCUGGUUAAAGUGUCAAUGAUCCUCACUACAAUAUACACAUCAAAAAGAUCUUAUUGCCUUCAUACAUAGAAAUUUGUGAAAAUUCUCGUAUCACUUCUUGAGUGCUAAGAAAUCCAAAAAUACUUUGAGAGUGUACCUUAUAAACAUUCUCUUGUAAGAGUUUCUAAAUAAAAACCUGUCUAACCAUUUUUUUUUCGAACUCAACUAGUAGUGGCUGCUAUCUUCAACAACUUGAUUGUACUAAGGAAGAAAGUUGAAAAAAAUUAAACACAAUCAUAUUACCUAGUAGGUGUUCAGUGAUCGUGUGAUACUGUUGAUGAUUAGUGGAUUAAAUCCUUUAGAGUGAAAGGACUGGACGUAACUACUGUGUUGGUGGUGAACCAAGAUAUUUUGACUUGGGUUAUUCUCCUUAUCUCUUUAUUGGUUCUUUCUUUUAACAUCGCUAAUUUAUAAUAUGUUUUAAUUAUUUUGUUUUUAAAAACAAAACAAAAUUCAAACCCGUCUUUCUUGUGUUUUCUCUCUACAAUUGGCAUCAGAGUUCAGUCUCAAGGUUGAGCACUUAACCGUGUUUGAGUAAAGAUUUUUUUUUUAUUAUUAUGUCUAACUCUGGUGAUGAAGCUAUAGGUGAAUAUGUUAGCAGACAUCCUUAUUUGAUGGAGAGAGAUUUGAAUACUAGAAGGACAUGUUGAGAUGUUUCCACGUCUCACAUGAUCCUGAACUUUGGGACAUAAUUGAAAAUGGCUAUGAAGCUCUUAAAGAUGUUGUCGGUUUUGAAAUAUUCAGAAAAGAUAUAUGUUGAAAAGUUUGAUACUACAAAUUUUUUGACACAAAAUUAACUUUCUUUCAAACGCUAACAUGAGAGUAUUACAAUUAAAUUGAUCAUAGAUUGGGACAUUCUCCAUCCAUAUAUUGGAAUAAACGAGAAAGUAAAAAACACGAUAGCAAUACAUAUAAAUAUUUCAAAAGCCAAUAAAAAAUUACCUAUCAAAAAACAUAAUCCUAACAACCAUACUAAUUUCUUAUACAUAUGGUCAAUAAUAAAAGAUAGUGCAAGAUUCACAGUCUUUAAUGUCAUCUAUCAUCGGAAAAAAAUAUUUGUUAGUGUUUUCUCAUAUCGACAAUAGGUGGUGUUUGACAUGGCCGAUUCAACUACAUGUUUGCAAGCCAUCUGUAAGGUUGAGAAAGUGUCGAGUUUGGUGAUAACCUCCAUAAGCCUCUUACUUAAAAUAAGACAUUGAGUAAACGAGUCAUUCUCGGACAUUUCAAUAAACCCAAAAAGAACAAACUUAAAAUAAACUAAAACGCUGCAAAGAGACGAGAAAUAAAAACUAAGACACGAACAAAAUAACGUCGCACUCGAAUGACAAAAUCACAAAACAAAACAAUUUAUAAAAGAGAAAGUCGGCGACUCUGUUAGGAUUUGAUGCAAACCCAAAAUAUAUAUAAAGUUACACACAAAAAAGACUACCAAUUUGUUAUUUAAGAUGAUAGAAAAUAUUGCAGAUGUGGAACUUCAUCUAUUUCCAUUUCUUGAAGGCUAUGUAGAGUUUUAAUUGUUUAGGUAGUUAGUGAAGAAAGGUUCUUGCACAAAUACACUUUACGACUAAUUAGGUUGGGAGUGGAAAAUUCACAUAGAGAAAAUGACUCCUCUUUUGAUUUUAUAGCCACUUAGCAUGUACUUCAUGACAUAUAUACAUAUACAUACAUAAUAUAUACAUAUCAAGAAUGAGAUCCAUGAAAAUGAGAGAUGAUGAAAGAAAUCAGAUUCAUAAAGAAUUACUCUCACUACAGUUUAGGAUUUUCAGUGUUAGGUUAGUUGUCUAAUGAUCUCGUAAAUAACUAAUUAAAUGACUGAUGAUGGUAGAUACCUGUCAUUGGUAUCUAGCAAUCACAUAUUGAUCUCUAACUGUGUGACGUCGUGUCACUAUAGUCUCUGAAUAUAUCGAAACUACAACCACAUCUUCAAUAUCUCUUUUGUUAGUAAUUUUAUGGACUAAAUUGACCAACAAAAAACACAUUUGAAGAUUAAACUGACUAACUAAAUAUAUAUUUGAAAACAAAAAUGACUAACAAAAACAUAUUUAGAUAUGUUUUUAUAAUUUUGAUACACUCAAUAAUUAUUGUGUUAACGCCUCACACAUUUAGAGAUCAAAAUGACCGUUAAGCUAAAUCAAUUAGUCCAAUGUAAGUAGGUGACACCUAGCUUACUGCCAUUAUUCUCCAUUUGACUAGUGAACUCAUGUGUAAAAGAGUUUGUACAAAUUAACAACAAUGGAAAGUAGCUAGUGGACCAUUGCUUCUUUAUAUAGUUUCCACUUACUCCACACACUCAGUCACAAUCGAUGUAUAUAGAAAAAGAGAUGCUCACAAGCUUCAUUGCUUCUUAUAGUGAAGAAAGUUUCUUUGCACAAAUUCAUCACAAUUUCAUAUUUUAAAGCUUCUAAGAAAAGAAAGACUAAGACUAGCAACAGAUAUUUGAAAAUUAAUUGAUUUCAUAUUUUUACAACUUAUAGUAUGUUUCUCUUUAUUUUAUAACUAUCUACUAAGUUGGAUGUAAGGUGAAAGGUGUCAACAAAAUAUAUAUGAAUACUUAAAAGUUAUUUGAAAUUUUUAUGACAAUCGAUGUCAUUCAUUAGAGAUAGAGGUUCACAAUCUUCUUUGUAUUUACUGAAGAAAUGACUGUUCCACAAAAAUAAAGAAAAAAGAAUAAGAGUUGAUUCAAAAACGCAUAUUUGUUGUCUCUUAAUUUUGAUGAACGUCAAUUAAGUCCCUAUCUUAGAACAUGUUUGGAUUUACGAUGAGCUUAUUAAAUUUUAAUGAGUCAUCGUUAUUUUAAUUAAAUUUUAUUGCGCAUAAAUUAAACGAUUAAAUAAAUUUUUAGUCUUUAUAAAAUUUCACUAUUUUAUUUUUAGUUCUUAUAAAAUAUUUAGUCAACUAAAAAUGUUUAUUUUCAUUUUUAGUCCCUGAUUAUAAAUUAACUUUUGUGUGUUUUAUGAACUUUUGGAUGAUCUUUUACAUCAUUUCCCACAAAAAUUUAGAAAUUUUUAACAAAGAAUAAAUUAAAUAUGAAUUUUUAAGCAUCAAAAGGUUAAAAAUUUAUAUUUAAUUUAUCAUUUCUUAAAAAAAAAAAUUAAACUUUUGUAAAAAACUUAUUAAAUAUUUUGUAAACACUAUUGUAAAAAUUUAUUUAAAAACCAAAAACAAAAAUAAAAAUUUUUAAAGGAAAAUAUAAAGUAACGUGAUUUUAUCGAAAUUAAAAAUUUAUUUAACUAUAUAUAUAUAUAUAUAUGUGUGUGUGUGUGUGUGAAAGUAUACAGCCACCAUCAUUCAAUCGAGUCGUUUAAACAAGUGAUAAUUACUCAUUUCAUUAUUUGAAGCUUCAAGCAAUUACAUGACAAAAAGCUAAAAGCAAGCUACAGUUAAAAUUAUACUAAACAACAAAACAAAAUCAAUUACAGAUAAAAGGAAAAUACAACCAAAAAAAAUGAAAAUCGAACAACCACAUCAUUCACUCAUCUCACAUCUCACAUCUCAAAAGGGGGUAUUGCUGAGGUGAAUGAGGUUCAGGUUGCUAUUCAGGAUUUUGAGGUUGCUCCUAUUAGACGGUUCUUCAGCAGGGGCCUCAUCAAUCUUUUCUCUUUCACUCUCCAACCAUCUCAUGUUAGGAACCACCUUACCAACAUUAGGUUCCCUAUUAACCCCUUGCGACAUACAAAACAUUUUGGUUGUUUUUGGCCAAUUUAACGAUGUUGUCUGAAAUUAUAUGUCCCAAAUUAAUGGGGCGCCUCUUCAUCAAGAUGUACACUCCUAAAGCCCUUCUCACUCUAAUCUCGAAGUAGUUCGAGCAAGAUUCCACUUGUGAUAAAAAAAUUAUAAACCAAGCCUUAGGUGAGUAAAAGAUUUAUAAAUGGCUGUUUAAUUGCAAAUGAAUUAAAAUUAACUAGAUAAAAUAAUAAAAUUAAGAAAAAUAAUUAGGAAUUUGAAUCACCUCAUUUGCAAUGUAUAAUUAAUGAUUCACUAUUUUAACAAUUUAAUUUAUUCGAUUUCAUCAAAUUAAUCAAUAAGAUUAUGACAAAUUAUUUGAUUUGAAAUCAAUUUUAUAAAAAUGAACAAUUUCUUAAAUGAUUAGAUUUGUUACUCAAAGCAUGUAAAACCACUAAUUUGUCCUACACAUAUUAAUACUCUAUAUUCCUAUAAUAAUAUUGAAAUAUAAUCAUCUAUUUUUAUUCUGAUUAUUAGUACCUACUUUCCAACAGUAGAGUAAUUUCUAGGUUCAAUUAUAUAGUAGUCGAUCACAUAAAAACAUUAAGAAUAAAAAUUGAUGAACUAUCACAUAAAUUAUAAUUGCAAAUAUAAUAUAUAAAAACCAAAAUUUCAUAAAUUCAAUUAGGUACAUUUAUCCAUGGUCAAAAGAAAAUUAACUAUUCACGUUCAUAAAAUAAACAAUAUAGAAAAUAAAAUAAACCGGUAGAAAUUUUUCUAAUAUGCCUCUCUUCCUUCCAAUGUUCUUUUUCUUUCCUUAUUACCUGAUCGUUUUCUCUUUCACCUGGUUUUAACACCAGCUUUAUGUUUUCUCCCAUUUGGCCCAUCAUACUACUAAUAUAUAUACAUAAAUAUUAUUUUAUACAUUUUUAUUAUAAUAUAAUUGUAAUACGACUGAAUUGCAGUUUUAGUCUUCCUAUUUUUACUGAUUCAUAAAAUUGACCUCAUAUUUAAAAAGUCGACAAUUUUGGUUUAUCCCUCUAAUUUUUUAACUAAAAAAUGAUUAUGUAACAUGUUUUAAAUAAUGUGACAUAUGAUACAAUGAUCUUGAGUGGUUAACACAUGAAAUUGAAAUAAAAUACCGUAAAAACUUAGUUUUCGACUUCGAAUUUUUUUUCAUAUUUUUAAUUUAAUUAAAGACAUAUGAAUAAUUAAUGCAUCUAGAUGGUUCUAUAUUAUAGAAUUAUAUGUUAAGUUCAAAACUCUUCGAGAGGGAUCAAAACAGUCAAUUUUUAAAAUAGAAGGACCAAUUCCAUAAUUUGGUAAACUACAAUUAAGCCUAAUAUUUUCAUUUUAAAUUGUUUUGCUAAACGAUCUAUCAUAUAUUUUUCCUUGGAAACUUUGAAAAUGUUAUGUAAUAAAAGAUUGGUAUUUUUUUUUUAUCUUAGAGAAAUAUCUUUGGUUGUAUAUCAAAUAUGAGCACACAAAGAAUAACAUAUAGUGAGGUAAUUUGAUUUAUACAAACUUUUACAUAACUCUUGAAAUACACUGUAUAUUUUAUUUAAAUAGAUUUCAAAAUGUGAUGGAAAAUAUUAGUAUAUUAAUAUCAGAAAAUUUUUAAUAUAUGUGUAGAUAUGAAGACAAAAAUAAUUAAAUUAAAUAAAUAUUUUAACUUCGAUUUUUUAAAUCAUUAUCAGUUAUCUUAAACAUAUCCAGAAAAAGUGAUAUUCUAUUACAAUAAACAUCAUACUAAAGAUGAUUACUUUUUAGAUUUCUUUAAUGUGCAUAGGUAAGACCAUGUUGCACAAUGCAUAGGUUUAUAUUCCACCAUUGAAUCAUUAAGUCUUGUAAUAUCUCCUUUGAUCCAAUGAUGAAACUUAUAAAACCAAUGCUCGAUAAAAGUUUGUGCAUGAUGCAAAGCUUACCUCACUUGUCAAACAUAAAAUUUGUUUACUUGCCAAAAUGACACUUGUAAAAUGGAGGGAUUGGUAUUUACUUUUUAAUGAACUUGUAUUUCAUAAAUCAAUUUUUUCUACCUUUCAAAGGAUGUUGAUAUGCUUCUGAACCAUAUCAGCACUUCAAAAUUCACAUAUUUCAACAUAGAGCAAGAAACUAUUAAUGUUAAGAUACGUUAUUGAAGAUGAAUGUGGCUUUGUUUUGCAUUAUGAAACAGAGAGGCCAAUAAUUAUGAUUUUAAGAAAAAUAGCAAUAAAUUAUUUUAUACAAAGUCUAACUAAUAAUUGUAUCUGUAUUUAUUCGGAAGCAAUAAACAUGCUUGAUUUUUUAUCAAACUAAGGUAACAUUGCUCCUAAAUUAGAUUUUUAGUCUAUUUAAAGAUAGAUCUUGUGAUUUCUUUACAGACAUAGAUAUCAAAUAAUAUUUUAAGUUGCUAACAUGCUACAUCAUGCUUUUGAAAAACUCCGACUAAACAUUAAAAUAGUGAAUAAGAGUAUAAGGCCUUCAUGAGUUUGUGCUUAUAUAUGAUAUAUUAUAGUACUUAAGUUUAUACUCAAAGAACAUAGUACUUAAUCAUAAAUUACAUAUAUAACAUAACAAUAAGUAAAAACACAAGUAUGAAAAGCAAAAGACUAAAUAAAAGUUAUUUUGCAUUUGUCUGCCAUCUGCAUCAAAAGUCAAAAGUAGCAUCGAAAGUAGAAGGAAUCUCAUCAUUUUUUCCACUUCACAAAGCAGCACAAAUGANNNNNNNNNNUUUCCCUAUAUAAGGAACACUUCUCUUCAGUUCAAGAUCAGAGUGGAAUACAUCAAGAAAUUAUCUCUUAGAAAUCUUGAGUGUCUCCAAGUGUUUCAAAAACAUGAAAUAUUUUCUUUUCCGUUUUCAAAACCCUUGUAAGUACUAAUCAUGUAUUAAUUAUAUUCCGCUUUUAAUUGUGUCUUUUAUCAAAUCCAUAUUUAUAUAUUGCAAAAUAACUAUGCUAUGCACUUGCAGCUCAGACUAAUCUUGUGCAUCAGAAACUCUGUUCAGUUAUUAUGAACUUUGUGUAUUUUCAAUUUGUUUUUCAAAUCGUUUUCUUAUUAACAACAAAACUCGAUAUCAUUCUUGACGACACACCAUUAUUUUCACCAUGUGUGUUAUGGACUAUGUUUUGUUUCUUUGAACUUUAUUUGCAUAAUCUCAACAAUAAGAACCAUUGUUGAUUUGUACCCUUUGAUACAUGACGUUUAUGGUAUCAAACUUGGGGAAGGAAUAAGUUUAUAUAAAAUUUGUUAUAAAUAUUUAAAAUUCAUAAUUUUGAAUAUUGAAGAAUGAUAGUUUCUGAGUAGUAAGUCUCGUGUUUAAGCCAACGUACAGGCGUGUUAGGACAGUGAAUCAUUUGAAAGUUUCUUCAAUUUUAAAAGAAAAAUUUUAAAUAUGAACAACUCAUUUUGUAGAACUUCUUCUUUAUCCACUCCUUCUACCCAAAAAUUCUCAAGAAAAAAGGAACCUAUCAAUAGUGAAGAAAUUACAAUUGAAGAUUUUCAAAAAUCAAUUAAUAAUUGGAAAAUCCCAAAAAUUAAAAAAGAUCAGGUCUAUGUAUCUAGUCUUUUCAAAAACCUACUCAAAACUGAUUACAUAAUCAAAACAGAAAAAAGAGAUGUCACUCUACCUAGUCCCUUUGAAACGAUAGAACUUCUUUCUCUAAAAACACUACAAAAAUACCGUAACAGAAACUAUAAUUUCAUACAUAUAGGUCUUGUACAAGUCGGAAUCAAACCAUUAACUAGGGAAUGACUAAACACUUCAAUCCUUUGUGUCCUAUGAGAUGCAAGGUUCUUGAACUUUCAAGAUUUAAUAAUAAGUACAAUUGAAUCUAGCUUAUGUCAAGGACCAAUUUGGUUUGAAUGUUAUCCAAAUUUUUCAUUAUCUUUAAAGGACCCAAACAUCUUACAAUCUCUUAUGUUACAAAUCAAAACUCAUAAUUACAAAAUGUUAACAGGAUCUAUUCUUGUAACAAUUAUUUAUAGAGUUCAUUACAAAGCAAUGUUUACAGCCUUCACGGCAACAAAAAAUAUUGAAAACAAAAAAGGCGAAGCUCUAUUUUUACAAACUGGUUUAACAAAGGAAAAUAUUGUUAUUCCAAAAACCAUCAUUUGGAAAGAUAUAGAUCUUCCUAAAGAAUGGAUUAUGAAAGGAGUUGUUAGACCACAGUCUCUUGAACAGUCAAAACAAAACAACAAGUUGAAGGAAGUUGUCCAAUACAAUGACGGAAGGGUAAAACUUAGUUUUUCAAGAACAUCAAGUGUCAGGUAUUCUGAUGUUGAUUCCUCCAGACAUCCUUUAGUUAUUCUAUUACCUCAUAAAAUAGAAAACUUUACAAAACCACGUUUUUUUGUGUUCUAGCAUACCGAGCGCUUCUUUUCAAAACAUUGACUACUCCACAAAUGUACCUCAUCAAAUCUAUACAACGCCUCAAAAUACUAAUGAGCAACAACAAAACAUUUCUCCACCAACUUCGCCAUCUUUUUCAGCAAUAACUGAAAAUGUUGUUAACGAAUUAAAUGUCAUAGAAAAAGAAUUUGAAGUUGAUAAACUAUUCUCCAUAAUGAUUUCUAUGCUUCCAAAAAUACAGAAAAAAGAACACGAUUCUUCAAAAAAAUUCUAAAAUGUUAAGUUCAAAAAUCUUAGAGAGGGACCAAAAUUGUCGAUUUUUAAAAUGGAAGGACCAAUUCCGUAAUUUGGUAAACUACAAUUAAGCCUAAUAUUUUCAUUUUAAAUUGUUUUUCUAAACGAUCUAUCAUAUAUUUUUCCUUGGAAACUUUGAAAAUGUUAUCUAAUAAAAGACUGGUACUUUUUUUUUUUUUUUUUUUAUCUUAGAGAAGUAUCUUUGGUUGUAUAUCAAAUAUGAGCACACAAAUAAUAACAUAUCGUGAGGUAAUUUGAUUUAUACAAACUUUUACAUAACUCUUGAAAUACAUGGUCUAUUUUAUUUAAAUAGAUUUCAAAAUGUGAUGGAAAAUAUUAGUAUAUUAAUAUCAGAGAAAUUUUAGCAUAUGUGUAGAUAUGAAGACAAAAAUAAUUAGAUUUCUUUAAUGUGCAUAGGUAAGACCAUCUUGCACAAUGCAUAGGUUUAUAUUCCACCAUUGAAUCAUUAAGUCUUGUAAUAUCUCUUUUGAUCCAAUGAUGAAACUUAUAAAACCAAUGGUCGAUAAAAGUUUGUGCAUGAUGCAAUGUCUACCUCACUUGUCAAACAUAAAAUUUGUUUGCUUGCCAAAAUGAUACUUGUAAAAUGGAGGGAUUGGUAUUUAUUUUUUAAUGAACUUGUAUUCCAAUUGGUGGUUUUUUGAUUGGUGGUUUUAUUUUUCCAGGUUUUUGUAUGGGUGGCGUUUCAGUUGGUCGAUCUACUGGUUCGAAUUCGGGUUUUUUUUUAAUUGGUCGAUGAACGGGUUUUCCACUACCCCUACCCUUUUGCUGGACUUGGUAAACAUUUGCAAGACCUUGUGGAACAAUGAUAAGAGCACCAAAGAACAAAACUAGUAAGGACAAGAAAAAGGAAGCCAUUU